AUCUCUUGCAAGGUUUAGAGAGUUUUAGAGAGAUAAAGAGGAGAAGAGAGUGUGCGAGAGUGACAGAAAGUGUUUUGGAGUGAGGAAGAAGAAGAGCUUCAGUGCUCUUUAAGCUAGACCUAGUAAAAUACCAAAAUGCCCUCAAAUUGGGCACUUUGCGAGCUCAGGGUGUAGAUCCUGCAUUCGAGGUCCGGACCCUGUACCAAGGUCACGCAUUAUGCAGGCAAGGUUCGAACCCUACCUCAGGAUCGGGAACCCGUAAGCAAUUCCUACGUUUUUUGCAGCCAAGGUCCGAACUUUGAUACUUUGGAUCGUAUCAAGGUCUGGAUCCUCAAGCUAAGGUCCGGACCCUGAGAGUCCAGUAGCUGAAAAUUAAAAUUUUCGAAAAUAUCCAUUUUCACUCCUUGAAGCUCUAGUCCACAUCUAAUUGUUCUGAAACCUUUGGAACUCAUUUCCAAAUGUGUCUAAAUCACUUUCCACCGUACUUUACCCAAUUUGGCUAAAGUUCAGUAUAGUAUACCGAAUUUCAGUACACUACAGAACUAGUAUUAUUAAAUAUGUACAAUAUAACAAGUAGUAUAAUUGUAGUGUUUCUGAGCUUUGGAUAGGAUUGACUUCAGUAUUAGUAACUGGUCGACACAUCUGGAGAGUGUCGGACUGAGUCGGAGUCGUUUCUGUACGAAUUGGAUGCAGAAAUGGACUCGGCGCACUCAAUUAAGCAAAACUGGAGUUUUGCCAGAUUCGGGCGCCCAGAACACGGUUUAGGUCGCCCAAAACUGAGUGUUGAAUUUAACUAAAACUGGAAGCCAAUUCGGAUCCUAUGUUCCGGGAGCCCAGAAGUGAGUCCGGAAAUUUUACAUCGUGAAUAUCGUUUGUGUUGACACGUGGCGGGUGGUAGGUGAGGUCCGCCGGAGCUGUUUACGGGCACAGCACACCGCGAGCGGAGAGUCCGAGGAGGAAGAUUUGUGAAGCCUGGAGGUUUCGGGCGCUCAGAAUUGGGUUUCGGGCGCCCAGAAAUGCCCGUUUCUGCAGGGACACCAGGUUAGCAGCUUUUGAACCUGGGGCUUAUUUUAUCCUUUCAGCACCCUAUAAAUAGGGGGAGCAUGACCUCAGUGAAGCCUUUUCAUCCAUUCUUCACAGUGAACCCUUAAAUUGCAUUUCCAACCCCCAAAUCUACUCAAAUUGCUUCAAGAUCCACAACUCCAAGCUUGAUAGGUGCUGAUUCUGCAGUUCUUCAGCGACGACCUCCAGUGUUUUGGCUCGUACACGAUGUAGGAAGGUCGGAUCGCGGUGAAACUUGGUUGGCUGGAUUCUAGACUUCCAGAGGAAUCCAUGAAGCCCUGAAUUGCAGAUUUUGGUUGAGGUUAGCUUGGUCGAACUGAGAUUUUUCUGGAAUACUAUUGACAUUGAGCUGAAAAUGAGAUUUUUGAGCUUUUCUUGAUGCUAUCUUUGUAGGCAGUGGGAUUUUGGACUUGAGACACAUUCUCCAUUAUUAUUCACUGGAUUUGAGACCUUCCUCACCUGAUUUGGAGGUAAUUGGGUGAGUUUUGACAUUACGAUAGGGAUUAAAUUAAGCUUUAGUGCUGAAAUUGUGAUAAUUGAUGGAAUUCAAUGUGUAGAGCUUGGAGAUAGCUUGAUUACUGGUCUUGGAGGAUUUCGGUUGAUCUAGCAGGGAUUAGCAUUGGUUCGGGACCUUCUUUACUGACAGGUUUAGUAAUUAAGGUGGGUGUAUCAUCGAUUUUUACUUCUAAGUACAUGUUAGUCGACGUGUAUGAUUUGCGGCUAUUGUUAUCUUGUUGUAGCUCAAAUUCAUCGAUGAGUAUGAUAUAAAAAUCUGAAUUUGGAGCAUGCUUAGUAAUUAGAUAAAUUAUACAUGUCGGACUUGGAACUUGACUUAGGAGAGAACCAGUGUUUUGACCCGUCAUAUGCUUCUACUACCUGAUUUAGCUCUAAGAGCCGUGGUUUGAUUGUAUCACCGCUGUUUCAGCGCGGUGGAUACCCGGGAUAGUUUAGAAUGCAUUUACGCUCGUGCUGGGACGCCGAGCUUAUUUUUACAGCAGAGUCUAGACUGUUUCCGGUUGUCGGGUGCCGUUGGGGUGGACGGUGGACCCAGAUCCCUGUUUUUUGAUAUCAGAUUGUGCCGAGAGCACGUGGGUUCGGUUUCUAGACCUGUUUUGACCAUAGUUAUUUAUCUUUGGCUGGUUAGAGCCUGAUUGAGCUUGACAGAGAUACGCUUGCAUACUCGAUUGUGUAGCGCCCACGAGUGCCACUCCGGAGUUCGGCUUAGUGCUUUUGCGUUGUUGCCGUUCGUGCAGGUUGGACUUGCUCUCCACAGACUUGUUAGUGUGGAGGUAGCUGGUUAGUUGCAACCUGGCGGGACGUGUGUGUUCAUAGUCCCAGGGACGGGUAUGAUUACAGUUCCUAUUCGAGAUUUGGUCUAAGUUUGCACUGUUCUACAGUUGGUUAGAUUAUAGCCUGAUAGUAUAGAGGCAGAUAGCCGUAGAUAUGUUCCAGCUUUCCUUACUAUUUCUUGCUUACCCCUGUAGACUUAUUGGGUGGACCGAUGAGUUCAGGGCGGUACCCAUUGAGGACUACUUCUUUUUGUAGUAGUUCUCGCGCCCAGUUUGUUUCCACUGUUUUGCAGAGCCAUCGUCUUCGGCUGCUGCUGUCGCUCAUAUUGAUCGUGGCAAGGGCGUCGCGAGUUAGAGCCCUUCCAAUCGAGUUGCUGAGCUAGUAGAGGGCCGCUGCAGGUAGUGUAGUGUUGGUUUAUAUAUACAGAUGUUGUACUCUCGCCAGUGCGAGUGCUUUUGUAUCUUGGAUCUUAUGUAUAUAUAGAACCACAGUUUAUAUAUGCAUGUUUUAUUCUUCUCUCCUAGCUGCUCUAUACUACUGUCUGUAGUAUUGUAUGAUUAUAGGUACUUUUACUUUCGCUUCGUAUACAGAGAAAAUACCAAUGUAUAAGGCGGGUCUGUUAGCGAGCCCGGGGAAACGAGUAAUCCGGGGCGUGACAGAUUAAGUUGGUAUCAGAGCUUAGCUGUAGGUCGUUGGGAUCUAGGAACCCUAAGUCUGGCAAACCUUAGGAAGGCAAGACGUGAGAGGGGUGAUUUAUCACGAAAGUCAAUAAUUCGUUAUUCUAACUCCUCCUAGAGUGGAGUGAGUGAUUGGAGGAGUUCCUGUUUUGGUCUGAGAAAUUAUGUUGGCUGCAGACGACAUCAUUUUGAGGAGAAACAAGAGCCGCCUUCUAGACUUUCGUUUGAUUGGGUCGAGAGUGUUUUUAUUGUAUCUGACCUCUGUUUUGUUCUUUACAGCUAUGUAUCGUCGCCGAGGUUGACCGUCGCUCAGAGAUCGUGCCGCACCGCCUGAGAUGCCCGAGCAGGUAGAGCCGAGUGCACCACCUGAGGCGAGUGCACCCCCUGCUGUGGAGCAUAGGGCCCGACCCGAGGUGGGUGUACCUCCUGAUUUGAGUCCGCAGAUAACCGCCCUGACUGAGGUGAUGAGGCAGCAGGGGGAGUUGCUACAGAGGAUGUGCGAGAGGUUAGCUCCGUCACUGAGUACAGUACCAAGAGCACCUGAGCAGGCCGUUUCACCUUCGACUACUCCAGUGACCGCACCAGCCGCAGCUAUGCUCCCACCAGUGGAGCUCCCUACAGUGCCAGUUGCGCCCGCUAGGGGAUCAGUACAGUUGAUUGAGGCCGAGUAGGAGCGAAUGACUGAGCGGUUGGCUCAUUUUCGCCAUUUUGAUCCACCAACCUUCGACGACGGUUGCAUUGAGGCCUGGGUUGUUGAGGGCUGGGUCAGUGCGAUGGAGAAGCUGUUCGAGGAUCUAUUCGUGCCUGAGAGGGAGCAGGUGUCUUUGGGAGUACACUGCUUAACUGGCGAUGCUCACGCCUGGUGGAGGAGAGUGAGGCGAGGCUAUGGAUUAGUGGCGUUGCAGCUGAAGUGGGACGAGUUCUGUGGAAUGCUGUUCGGGAUGUAUUUUCCCAACAGCAUGAAACAGAAGCUCGAGGAGGAUCUGAAGAGGAUUCAACAGGGCGAGCGUACAGUCCAGGAGUAAAUUUGGGAGUUCACUCGACUCCUGAACUGUGUACCGUUCGUGGCCAGGGAUGAGGCGCAUAGAGUCUAUCUAUUCGAGUAGGGAUUGAGACCCGAGAUCUUUCGAUUGGUGCAGGCGCAGAGGUUGAGGACCUUGGACGCGUCGAUGGAGCAUGCUCUUUGGGUAGAGAGAGGUGAUGCCUCCAUUUGGGAGAGGACUCAGGCCAUGUGGCAGAGUCAGGACAGAAAGCGUCCCUUUUUAGAUAAUGCUGGACAAUCGAGCAGCAGUCGUCCGUGGAGACCACCACGAUCACGCUCUCAGGGUCGUGGGUUUUCGGGGCGUCAGUGUUCCAGAGGAUCCUGUCAACAGGGACAGACCGAGAGGACACCGCAGUGUGUGAUUUGCGGGGGACCACAUUGGCCCCGACAGUGCGAGCAGAGAGAAGGCCGUUGCUACACUUGCGGUCAACCCGGGCAUAUGAGGUCAGCUUGUCCUCGUGCAGCAUCACCAGCACCAUCCAUUGCAUCAGCGCAGCCGGCAUCCCAGCAGUCCUUUGGAGCAGCACCGAGUUUCCGCCAGGAGGACAUAUCGUUUGUGCCGCGUCAGGCUGAGCGGCGACAACGGGCUCCGAGUGGCAGAGUUUACGCAGCUCAAGUGGAGGAUUCUUUAGCAGCCGACCGAGUGGUGGCAGGUAUCAUUUUGAUUUCAGGCAUUCGUACUCGUACUCUUUUUGAUACUCGUGACUCGCAUUCUUUUGUUAGCCGAGCAUUUGCAUUGUUGCAUGGUCUAGAGUUAGGGUCUUUGUCAGAGACACGAGAGGUGGAGAUCCCCGACCAUGUUUUACAGGUUGCAGAGUGUUGUUGGUCAUGUUAGGUGCAGUUAGAUUCUUAGAUCAUGCCCGCAGACCUGUUGGUGUUAGGGCAGCUGCAGGACUUUGAUGUAGUGCUAGGUAUGGAUUGGCUGGCGCGGUACUAUGCUACUAUCGACUGUGGAGAGAUAACUGUGACGUUCCGCGAGCCAGGCAAGGAGAAGUUCACUUUCAGAGGCUGCAGGAGUACUUUGUUUGCCACUUGGAUAUCUUCGGCGAGGGCUCGACAACUGAUGAGUAAAGGAUGCGUUGCUUUUCUGGCGACUGUGACAGAGGUGCCUACGGCGGCGCCGGGACUCGAGGAUAUCCCUAUAGUCCGCGAGUUUCCGGACGUGUUUUCCCCGGAGUUGACGACGAUGCCACCGGAGAGGGAGAUAGAGUUUGUGAUUGAUGUAGUUCCUGGAACUGCACCAAUCUCAAAGGCACCUUACAGGAUGGCACCGGCAGAGCUGAGAAAGCUAAAGGCGCAGCUUCAGGAUUUGAUGGAUAAGGGGUUUGUGAGACCCAGUGUGUCGCCUUGGGGAGCGCCGGUAUUGUUUGUAAAGAAGAAGGAUAGUUCGCUCAGGUUGUGUGUAGAUUAUCAGGAGCUAAAUAAGGUGACCAUCAAGAAUAAGUAUUCUUUGCCGCGCAUUGAUGAUCUGUUUAAUCAGCUGUAAGGAUCUUAUGUCUUCUCAAAGAUUGACCUCCAGUCAGGUUACCACCAGUUGAGGGUGAGGGCCGAGGAAGUUUCCAAGACGGCUUUUCGGACUCGGUACGGGCAUUAUGAGUUUACGGUGAUGCCGUUUGGAUUGACGAAUGCCUCUGCCGCAUUCAUGGAUUUGAUGAACAGAGUGUUCAAGCCGUUCAUGGAUAGGUUUGUGGUAGUCUUCAUUGAUGAUAUUCUGAUAUACUCCCGGAGCGAUGCCGAGCAUGAGAAGCACUUGAGGUCUGUGCUAUAGCUUCUGCGAGUGAAGAAGUUGUAUGCCAAGUUAAAGAAGUGCAAGUUCUGGUUGCGGGAGGUUACUUUCUUGGGCCACGUGAUAUCUGCGGUUGGAGUGGCAGUGGACCCGAAGAAGAUUGAUGCUAUUUGGGAUUGGCCGAGACCGACGACGGUGACAGAGGUGAGGAGUUUCCUUGGGCUUGCUGGUUAUUAUCGUCGGUUUGUGGAAGGCUUUGCGAAGCUUUCCACACCACUCACUCGACUGACUCGUAAAGGAAUUAAAUUCAUUUGGAGUGAGGACUGUCAGAGGAGCUUUGAUGAGUUGAGACAGAGGUUGACGUCACUUCCUAUCCUUGUCCUUCUUGUGAUGGGGGAAGGAUUUGUGAUCUACAGUGAUGCAUCGCACAGCGGGUUGGGCUGUGUAAUGAUGCAGCAUGGUAGGGUAAUUGCUUAUACUUUACGGCAGUUAAAGGAUUACGAGAACAAUUACCCUACCCAUGACUUAGAGCUUGCCGCGAUAGUCUUUGCUUUAAAGUUGUGGCAGCAUUACUUGUAUGGCGAGCACUGCGAGGUUUUCACCGAUCAUAAAAGUCUCAAGUAUCUGUUCACCCAGAGGGAGUUGAACCUGAGGCAGCGCCGGUGGUUGGAGUUAUUGAAGGACUAUGACAUUAAUAUUCAGUAUCAAAUGUGGUGGCAGAUGCGUUGAGCAGGAGGGCAGUGCAGAGCUUGAACAUGUCGGUCACUCAGCAGGGGCCGUUACUCAAGGAGCUGCAGCGGCUUAGGCUCAAGAUAGUGUCCCCUGGAUCUACUGCGAGACUGAUGUCUGUGGUUUUGCAGCCCACUCUGUUGGAUAGGAUCCGACAGAAACAGAGUGGAGAUCCACACUUGUCGAGGAUUCGAGAGCGGUCUGAGAGGGGACAUACUGAGGGCUUUGUUGUGGACAGUUCGGGAGUACUGCGGUACAGGGACCGACUGUGUGUACCUAUAGAUUCAGAGAUCCGAGAGGACAUUUUGAGAGAGGCUCACUGUUCACCUUAUACGGUUCACCCUGGUGGAACCAAGAUGUAUAAGGACUUAAAGGCCCAGUUUUGGUGGAAUGGAAUGAAGAGGGACAUUGACAGAUUUGUGGCUCAGUGUCUGACUUGUCAACAGGUAAAGGCUGAGCAUCAGGUACCUGCUGGCAAUUUUCAGAGUCUGUCAGUGCCCGAGUGGAAAUGGGAGCAGAUCACGAUGGACUUUGUCGUGGGGUUGCCUAGAGCUCAGGGUGGUUUCGAUGCUAUUUGGGUGAUAGUGGACAGACUGACUAAGUCUGCUCACUUCCUACCAGUUCAGACCACAUGGUCCAGGGAGAUGCUCGCUCAACUAUAUCUAGAUGAGAUAGUGAGGUUGCAUGGUGUGCCCACUUCGAUAGUAUCAGAUCGAAACCUGAGGUUCGUCUCGUACUUUUGGAGGAGUCUUCAUAUGGCCUUGGGCACUCAAUUGCAAUUCAGCACAGCGUUUCACCCACAGACAGAUGGUCAGUCAGAGCGGACCAUUCAGACUCUUGAGGACAUGCUGAGGGCAUGUGUCCUGUACUUUGGAGGAGGGUGGUAUCGACAUUUGAGAGUUGCUGAGAUUGCGUACAACAACAGCUAUCAAGCGAGCAUCCAGAUGGCUCCGUUUGAGGCGUUGUAUGGACGCAGAUGUCGAUCCCCUUUGUUUUGGAGCGAUGUGGGUGAGAGAAAAACGCUUGGGCCUGAGAUUCUAAUUGAGGCUGAGGAAAAGGUGAAAGUGGUGCGACGGCACAUUUUAGCAGGCCAGAGUCGGCGGAGGAGCUGUGCUGAUACCCGGAGAUGAGACUUGGAGUUUCAGGUGGGAGAUCAUGUGUUUCUUAAAGUCUCUCGUCUAGAGGAAUUUGCAGAUUUGGAGUACGUGGAAAGCUCAGUCCACGUUUUAUAGGCCCUUUUGAGGUAUUGGAGCGAGUCGGGCCAGUUCCUUAUAGGAUUGCUCUAUCUCCACGACUAGCCGGCAUCCACGAUGUUUUCCACGUCUCGGCCUUGAGGAGAUAUGUGUUCGACCCCUUCCACGUGAUAGACUUCACUCCGCUAGAGAUUUGCAAGGACUUGAGAUACGAGGAGCGACCGGUGUGGAUUUUGGCUCGUGAGUCAAGGGAAUUGCGCAACCGGGUCAUACCCUUUGUAAAGGUGCAGUGGAGUAAUCACGAGGAGCGGGAGGCGACUUGGGAUCCAGAGACGGUGAUGAGAGAGUCCUACCCCUACUUUUUUGAGGCUCAGGAUUGAGGUAUGUUUCAGUUUCGCGGACGAAAUAUUUUGUAAUAGGGGAGGAUGUAGUGUUUCUGAGCUUUGGAUAGGAUUGGCUUCAGUAUUAGUGAUUGGUCGACACAUCUGGAGAGUGUCGGACUGAGUCGGAGUCGUUUCUGUACGAAUUGGAUGCAGAAAUGAACUCAGCGCAUUCAAUUAAGCAAAACUAGAGUUUUGCCAGAUUCGGGCGCCCAGAAUAUGGUUUAGGUCGCCCAGAACUGAGUGCUGAAUUUAACUGAAACUGGAAGCCAAUUCGGAUCCUAUGUUCCGGGCGCCCAGAAGUGAGUCCGGAAAUUUUACAUCGUGAAUAUCGUUUGUAUUGACACGUGGCGGGUGGUAGGUGAGGUCCGUCGGAGCCGUUUAUGGGCGCAGCACACCGCGAGCGGAGAGUCCGAGGAGAAAGAUUUGUGCAGCUUGGAGGUUUCGGGCGCCCAGAAUUAGGUUUCGGGCGCCCAGAAAUGCCCGUUUCUGCAGGGACACUAUGUUAGCAGCUUUUGAACCUGGGGCUUAUUUUAUCCUUCCAGCAUCCUAUAAAUAGGGGGAGCUUGACCUCAGUGAAGCUUUUUCGUCCAUUUUUCAUAGUGAACCCUUAAAUUGCAUUUUCAACCCCCAAAUCUACUCAAAUUGCUUCAAGAUCCACAACUCCAAGCUUGAAAGGUGCUGAUUCUGUAGUUCUUCAGCGAUGACCUCCAGUAUUUUGGCUCGUACGCGACGUAGGAAGGUCGGAUCGUGGUGAAACUUAGUUUGCUGGAUUCUAGACUUCCAGAGAAAUCCAUGAAGCCCUGAAUUGCAGAUUUUGGUUGAGGUUAGCUUGGUCGAACUGAGGUUUUUCUGGACUACUAUUGACAUUGAGCUGAAAAUGAGAUUUUUGAGCUUUUCUUGAUGCUAUCUUUGUAGGCAGUGGGAUUUUGGACCUGAGACACAUUCUCCAUUAUUAUUCACUGGAUUUGAGACCUUCCUUACCUGAUUUGGAGGUAAUUAGGUGAGUUUUGACAUUACGAUAGGGAUUAAAUUAAGCUUUAGUGCUGAAUUAUGAUAAUUGAUGGAAUUCAAUGUGUAGAGCUUGGAGAUAGCUUGAUUACUGGUCUUGGAGGAUUUCGGUUGAUCCAGCAGGGAUUAGCAUUGGUUUGGGGCCUUCUUUGCUGCCAGGUUUAGCAAUUAAGGUGGGUGUAUCAUCGAUUUUUACUUCUAAGUACAUGUUAGUCGACGUGUAUGAUUUGCGGCUAUUGUUAUCUUGUUGUAGCUCAAAUUCAUCGAUGAGUAUGAUAUAAAAAUCUGAAUUUGGAGCAUGCUUAAUAAUUAGAUAAAUUAUACAUGUCGGAUUUGGAACUUGACUUAAGAGAAAACCAGCGUUUUGACCCGUCAUAUACUUCUACUACCUGAUUUAGCUCUAGGAGCCGUGGUUUGAUUGUAUCACCGCUGUUUCAGCGCGGUGGAUAUCCGAGGUAGUUUAGAAUGCAUUUACGCUCGUGCUGGGACGCCGAGCUUAUUUUUACAGUAGAGUCUAGGCUGUUUCGGGUUGUCAGGUGACGUUGGGGUGGAUGGUGGACCCAGAUUCCUAUUUUUGGUAUCAGAUUGUGCCGAGAGCACGUGGGUUCGGUUUCUAGACCUGUUUUGACCCUAGUUAUUUAUCUUUGGCUGGUUAGAGCCUGAUUGAGCUCGACAGAGAUACGCUUGCAUACUCGGUUGGGUAGCGUCCACGAGUGCUACUCCGGAGUUGGGCUUAGUGCUUUUGCGUUGGUGCCGUUUGUGCAGGUUGGACUUGCUAUCCACGGGCUUGUUAGCGUGGAGGUAGCUGGUUAGUUGCAACCUGGCGGGACGGGUGUGUUUACAGUCCUAGGGACGGGUAUGAUUAUAGUUCCUAUUCGAGAUUUGGUCUGAGUUGACACUGUUCUACAGUUGGUUAGAUUAGAGCCUGAUAGUAUAGAGGCAGAUAGCCGUAGAUAUGUUCCAGCUUUCCUUACUAUUUCUUGCUUACCCCUAUAGACUUAGUGGGUGGACCGAUGAGUUGAGGGCGGUACUCACUGAGGACUACUUCUUUUUGUAGUAGUUCUCGCGGCCAGUUUGUUUCCACUGUUUUGUAGAGCCAUCGUUUUCGGCUGCUGCUGUCGCUGAUAUUGAUCGUGGCAAGGGCGUCGCGAGUUAGAGCCCUUCCAGUCGAGUUGCUGAGCUAGUGGAGGACCGCUGCAGGUAGUGUAGUGUUGGUUUAUACAUAUAGAUAUUGUACUCUCGCCAGUGCGAGUGCUUUUGUAUCUUGGAUCUUAUGUAUGUAUAGAACCACAGUUUAUAUAUGCAUGUUUUAUUCUUCUCUCCUAGCUGCUUUAUACUACUGUCUGUAGUAUUGUAUGAUUAUAGAUACUUUUACUUUCGCUUCGUAUACAGAGGAAAUACCUAUAUAUACGGCGGGUCUGUUAGCGAGCCCAGGGAAAUGAGUAAUCCAGGGCGUGACUGUAGUCUCCUUGCUUUGGGCAACUCACGCAGUCCACCAGUAAGCGUGCUCAUUCGUGGACCACGCGAGGAUUCCAUGAGUGCACUUGUACACCACGUUUUUAUUUAUUUAUUUAUUUAUUUUUAUUUCCAAGUAUGAGUUUUCAUUUUCUACUAGGGGACGUUAGGAACGGUGUAAAAAACAUCGAAAACUAUUUUUUAGCUAAAAAACGAUUUUCAACCUGUUUGGUUUCACGUAAAAUUUUUUCAUAUAAAAUAUUUUUUUGCAGAUAACAAGAAAAGAGAACUUUUCAUUUUUUGCCUGAAAUGAGCGGAAAACAAAAUGUGUGGGCGGAAAAUGAAAAGUGGCACUGCAAAAAAAAAAAAAAAAAGGUCCUUGAGUCAUGCACCUAGCGUGUGAUCCGCGAGUUGUCAGAAAAAAUCGUAGACCGCGUGACAGGUCCAACCGUGGACUUCUCUUAAUCUAUCUGUACACACACACCCUAGCAAAGUGUACGUGCAAUACACGUCGCAUAUUUGAAAAAAAUAGCAAAAGCAUUUACUAACAUGUACAAUACAAUACAUGAUAUGGGCAUAGAAGAGCAUAGAGUAAUUAACUUCUGCCUUAAAACUUACAACCAUAGCUAUCCAAAAUAUUACAUAGUUCAUGUUUAUACAAAAAGGUACCCUCUAAACCAACUCAUGAAUUAUCUAACUAACUCACGACAUGUCACGCCUGGGCCCCAGCGGAAGCCUGCCCAGUGCGUGCUCAGACCCGCCAUAUGCCAAGAACAUAUAAGGCGUCUACAAUAAUCAUAACGAGAAAACACAAGAUAAAAGUAAUGUCUAGUAUGAUAUCAGAGCAUGGAAUAUAAACUACUCCCUAAAGACAAGUAUAGGAAAGUAAAAUAGCUAAACAAUAAUAAACCACAAAAUAAUACAUAAACCUGGAAUUCACAUAAGAUAAAACUAAAUACAAAAUGGUGGUCUCUAUACAUCGGGUACAAAACAUCUCUCUCCAACUACAACAAAAUGAGAGAUAACCACCUAGCAGAAACUCCCGGCUAAGUCUUGCUAGUCGCGACUCCCUUGCCGCGGUUCCUAGCUUCUCUCGGUGUGGAUGGCUCUGUAAACAAAAACAUCAACAAAAUGAAAAUGAGAACUAUUAGUCAAUAGUUCCCAGUGGGUAAGCUGCCGACAUCAGCGAAUUACACCACUAGGUCAUCGAGGCAUAAGUAGUAAAUAAGCAUUACUAGAUAAGCAACAUAAAUAUUGAGCAAGUAAUACUUUACUAAGCUACUAUGCCUCCAUUUAGCAUGAUGUUUAGCAUGUAACAAAGCUAUUCUAAUAUGAAUAAACAUGUCCAACUAGUAUGCACUAUUUAGUAGUGAUGGUGGCAUUAUACUUUUAAAUUAAUGUCAUUGUUCAAUUCAAUUAGGACCAAGGUUUUAAGUGCCUGUCAGUACGGGCCGUAUCCACCAUGCCAUACCGUGCCAACAAGAUACCGGCACGAUACAGACUCCAUGCCGAUGGCACAGCUCAAAACCCUCUAUUCUUUAAAUUAGUAAGUAAUUUUCUCAAUAAAGUUCAAAAGCUGUGAUAAAAAGACAUAAUAAAUAGUUAGAAUAUUUUGUUGCUAAAGAAAAUAAAUAUUUCAUGCUAUUGUGUGUCGGCACACAAGAAUUUUUUUGAUCAGCACGCAUCGGCACGGCUCGACACGCACCGUGCCAUACCGUACCGGCAAGUUUUCGGCACAACCCCGGGCUAUGGCACUUAAAUCCUUGAUUAGGACCUAUACAAGUGUAGUCCGGCUUGCGCCGUGCCUAGUAAUGAGCCUCCCCGACGGGUAGUCAACAUUCCCCCUCUAGGAAUGAGCCUCCCCCACGGCAUCCCACUUUGGCGCCCAAUCUUGCACGAGUGAGUAUGUGUCGCGUAGGCCAACUCCGGAGUGCCGGCUUGUAGGGAGCGACCCUCACAAGCAUGCGCGAAUAAGCAUAAUGGCAAACAAGCAUGAUCAUUCAUAUUAAGUACUCGGUCAUCAUGUCUAAAAUAUGGUACAAGUACUAGCGACCCAACGGUCGGUCUCUAUGUCACAUUGUAGAGGUUUAGUCGUUUACUAAGUCAAGUGUCAUUCCAUGACGUUCAUGUUAACUAUGUCAAGUAUAAAUCAUUUGUCCAUGAGCAUGUAAAACUUGUCAUUUCACUAAUUAUAAUAUGAUUUCUAACAUGGCAUGAAUGAUAUUUUUUCACAUACAAGUUCCAUAUACAACUCUCACUCUACUGUAUAGAAGUUAUAAUCUUGACAUGUAACAUGUAUAUCUUAAGCAUUCAGAAAUUCAUAUAGGCUACAACUAGUAUGAAUAUGCAUGAUUUUUCAUUUUACAAUAUAGAGAAUGACAUAGGAGGAGUUCACCCAUUUCGGUGAGGUCAAACCCACCGGAUACCCCUCGAAACUCUUUCGUUUGCGCGAACGGAGUUGUCCACUAGCCUCCUAACACCCUAACAAAAAUUCUAAGAGGGUUAGGAGAUUCGAACGAACACCCCACGAAAUCCUUCAAAAAUCAUACCAAAAAUAGGUAAAAAAUACCUUAGAUGAGAAAAAACUCUUUCAAACUCCCAAAGGAGGUUAGGAUGCUUCAAUUCCAAUCUAAAAGGAAGUAUUGGAACCAACAAUUAAGCCUUAAAGACUUUACCAAGAGAAAACCCAAAAUGAAACCCUAGUCUUCCAAAACUAGUUUAAACUCCAAAAAUCUUUCCAAAAUCACAUCUCAAGGGAGCAAUAAUGCUACUAACCUCUUAGAGAGCUCCAAACUAAGCUAGGAUGAUGCUAGGGUUGGAGAUAUUUCCUUAACCAAGCUCUAUUCCUCAAGUCCCAAGCUUCUCCAAGGUCCAAGCACACUCCUCCAAAGAAGAGGAGAGGAAAAGAGAGAUCAAACCUCAAGAAACUUCAAAUCAAAGAGGAAAAAUCUAGAGAGAGAAAGAGAGGAGGCUUACCACACUCCUUCUCUGGUUCCAAGCACAAGGAACCCCUUAUAGGGGUGUUGGGGUAUAUAUAGAAAUGUACAAUCCCCAAAAAAUCCCUCAAAAACAACCAAAUUGCAGACUAUACUGCGCACCGAUACUCGAAGGGGAGUAUCGGUACCUAGCAACCAACCCGCAAAACCCGAGCCUCUGUCAAGCGGGUUAUUUAUGGUGUACUGGUACCAGCUUGAUACAGUACCGGUACUCGCCGACUCUGUACCGGUAUUCAGCACCCCUCAGCUCAAAUCCGAGAGCAGCCCUCUCGGUCACGUGUCGGGAUACCGGUACCCCACUGUCGUACCGGUACUCAACAUCCCAAAACCUAUAGUUUGCAGAUUUUGGUGCUAAGUACUCACACUCGCUUCACAAAACGCGAGUAAUUAGUCGGUACACAGUCCACGACCCUCAAACGUGAAUAGUACCAAAUGCUAUUCUGACACUGGAACCUUACAAUUUGCCUAUGUUGAGUGUGCUACAGGACACCUUUGCAGCAAUCCUGCGCCCCAUCACGACACCUUUGCAGCGAUCCCGCGCCCCAUCGACUAUAGAUGGCUUUGAAAAAGAUGUCAACAAUAAUGGAGUAAGAACUUAAAAUAAGUUCCCAGUGGGUACAAUCACAAAAAAGUGACGCUCUACACUCACUCGGUCUAAAAAAAGUAUUAGUAUAAAUGAAUCUACUACUAUUAUAAUUGAUAUACAAGAAAAGAAAAUACAAAUACUAUGCUUCAAAUAAAUACAAGAUGCCACAAUAUAUUAUAUCAUUGACUUAUGUGUUUCUCCCUUAUUAUUUCUUAUCUCUAACCAAAUAGUUUGGUUCUUCUUACUAGACAUCUCAUGGAGAGUCGAAGGCAACUGCCAUCCCUCUAAUUGGUAGAUACUUGGUGUCAAAGAAAAUCGGCAUACUUACGUACGGUAGGAAGUCGAAGGGAAUCAACAUUGUGACACCUUAACUUCCUAGGGGGUCACCCAUCCUAGGACUACUCUUGUCCUAGCAUGCUUAACUUUCUUAACCUCUUGGGCCUAGCCACCGCCCAAAAUAUUUAAGUCGAGUUAAGAUUUUUAGCCUUAUUAUACCUUAUAUAUAGAACUACUUGAGGUCUCACAUUCUCCCGCCCUUAAGUCCUGACGUCCUCGUCAGGCUCAGAACCUCUUGGGCCUAGCCACCACCCAAAAUGCUUAAGCCAGGUUAAGAGUUUUAACCCUAUUAUAUCUUAUAUAUAGGACUACCUAGGGUUUCAUAGACAUUUUUCGAUAUGGAGUAGGAAAUUGAGGGAAAUUGGCAUCUCCCAAUAUGGAGUACGAAGUCAAUGGGAUGUCAUGCCCCAGGCCACAGCGAAGCCCCUAACUGCACUAACAGAUUAUGCACGAGGAUGCACUCUGCACAUAUGAAGUGACUACAACCAACCUGUCUCAAAGACAACUAACAGGAGUGCAUAUAGUAUAAAUAUUCAUCAGAGUCUGUGAACAUCUAUACUAUAUAACAAUCAUUGUAUUAAAAUUCAUACGAAUGUACAAGCCGUAUAUUCCGUUCCAAGCAGUAUAGCAAAAUAACUCCUAGAAACCUCAUAGCACUGUUCUACUAAUCUCUAAGAUUGAAUAUUUGCAAUGAAUACAUGUCACGCACCAUGCCCCGCAACCGCCAAUUUGGUCGGUUCGGGCUCGUGGACAGACCACCGAACGGACAAGGUUUCCCCUAUCCGCCCAAGGCUUUACAAUGUCAUGUAUAUCUAGUUGCCUAGGUAAAACAUAAUUAACAUACAUGAUUAGUGCAAGAAUAAAUCACAAGAGCAAGAGAUAAAUUUAGCUAAACUAUUACAUUCAUUCACUUGUUUAAUCAUCCUUUUACAAUUCACCAAAAGUAUAACUUUAGUUUAUACAUCAUGUCCUCACUACAUGUUCUCUCCAAAAUACAACAUAGCCCUCACACAGUAUGUACACAGUAAACUAAUGCAAGGGAAGUCCGUUACCUAGGGCGCUAUGCCCUUACCACGAUCUUCGACUGCGUCGCUCCUGCUAAGCCCUGCAACAACAUGGGAUGAGAACUAACAAAAAUUCCCAGUGGGUUCGGCCGUCGACUCUGCCGAAUUUUUCACUAGGUCUAAGUAGGCAUAAGUAGAGAGAUAUACAUAGGGAUAAGAAAUGCUACAUGCUACUAUGCCUCAGCAACAUGAUAUGAAUGAAGUAACCACUAUGCUCAUGAUGCAUGCCAUUCAUAUGCUUGUAACCCAAUCACACUGGCUAAUCCUAAGGUUAAGCCCAACUCACACUCAAAUUCUAUAGGUGAGGAGACUCUACGCUACACUCACCCGGGACCGUCUGCUGGGUAGGUACGUUAACCCAAUCUGUGACGACUCCGGAGCCCACUGCUUGGGUGGAUCGACCACCACCAAGCUAAAAACAGACUAAUUGAGUAUGAUCCAAUUCUUUAAGCUCGAGGAUACCGUACCAACUAGGGAUAACAACCACUAGGGGAUCUACAAAUCCCAAUAUCCAUGUCAUAAGUGUCAUCUAUACACUAGUUCCAAAUGCCACCCUUUAUGUCACUACAUUGUUUAAGUUCACAAUUGUUCUCGGCACUAUAAGAUUCCAUAUCAAGACCCAAAUCCUCAUGCGUCUGCUACUCAUGUAUCAAACUCAUGAUUUCUAUUUCUACCAAGCAAGCAUGUAAGGAAAUGAAAUACAUUUAACCACAUAUCCUAUAAUGCAUGACGUCAACAUGUGUAUACAUAUGCUUAAUAAUAGCAACAUAGACAUAAAAGGAAAUCCGAUUGUUUCAGAUAGCAUCCCCACCUUGGCUUGAUGCUAAGAGGCGAGAAACCAAGUCUCGCGAUUUUACGACACCGUCUUAGCUCGACCCAAGGGAAACGAAUGGAAAAUGGUGUUUUUCUUCAAUGGUUUGUCGUAAGCUCGUAGGAACUCUGCUUCGAGUUGCCCACCACAUCGAUUUUACCUUUAAUUAGGUUUACAAAGGGUCAAUUUAACUAUAAACCCUAAUUCCACAAAAAUCCUAAUUCCAACCCUAGCUAUGAAUACCAUGUGUUCAUCAUGAGAUUCCUAGGGUUAUCUAGGUUUCCAUUCUUGCAAGAGACUCAAAACCAAGUGUUCUAGGGCAUAAUGUUAAGGAUUUUAUAGGUUGGCAAAUUUCGUAAAGUUGUUUGGAGUCUUGAAGAGUUGAUCGCAGAAGUUACUCAAAUUGGAGAACGAAGACUCAUUCGGAAAGCUCGACACCUAAGGUAUGAAGAAAAGAUCAUUUGUGGUGAAGAUACAUAAUUUGAUUAAGUUCAGAAGGCUUAGAUUGCUUUAAAAUAAUUUUUCUGAACUUUCAUGUGUUCUGGGACUGAUCCCUGAAGUGGAGAGACCGGUUCCCCUAAGGUCCUCACUGCGUGAGUUCUGAUGCAACCGGUCCCCUGAGAUGAGAGACCGGUUCCCGAACGCUGAGUUUUUGAACACGCAGAGAGGGACCGGUUCCUCACUUGAGAGACCGGUCUCUCACAGACCGGUCUCCUUGAGAAGACCGGUCUCUGAGGACGACACAGGUUUUUAAAAACGGCUUUUUGCAAUCCUAGUCUACUUCUAAGUCUUCUAAACAUAUAAAUAAGCUAUGUGGGUCAUCUAAAAAUUAAGGCUUUGAAUAUUUACCAAUUCUAAACCCUAGAAAUUUAUUUCUCUCCGUUUCAAUGCUUAGAUUUACAUGAUGAGUUUCUAGCAAUCAACAUCGGCUUGAUUCUUCGUUGUUACUCAAUAAUUCUUACGAGAAUCAAGUAGAUGUUUGAUAAAAGGUGAACUCCCAUAGCUUAUGGUUUUCAAAAGUUAAAUCACCACAAAUCUUCGAUUCUACAAGCUCCGGAAGGAGGUUCGGCNNNNNNNNNNNNNNNNNNNNNNNNNNNNNNNNNNNNNNNNNNNNNNNNNNNNNNNNNNNNNNNNNNNNNNNNNNNNNNNNNNNNNNNNNNNNNNNNNNNNUUUCAGUUUCGACCCCGUUUGGUCACCGAAAACUGUGCCGAACUGCAAUCUUUAUCAGAUGGCUUUCGGAUUUUAGUUCUCACUCUGCGGGUGUCAAAAAAAUAUGAAACUUUAAAUCUAGCCUCAUUAAAAUAUUUCUAGCAUCCCCGCCAGUUUUCAUAAUUUUCUGAGACUGUGCAUUUUCUGCUAAUUUAUCUGCCCCGUUUCUCACAGAAAAUCUAAAUCUUCUGUUUUCGCUCUGAAUUCAAGACGGGUCAUUCCAGACUUAUAUUUCACUUCUCUAAAUCUAAUAAAAAUAGUAUCUCAUACUAUUUUUAUUUAUUUCCCUUUUUAUAUUAAAAUCCGCAUAUUACAUCCCACCGUAACUUCAUAAUUUUAGAAGUUCGGUAUCCUACAUCGCCGAUCCUCGAUCGAUAGGAAUCCUCCAAUCGACCUCGCCGCAACUCCUCGCAGCGUCAACGCCUCAACUCCUCGAAGCGUCCACCGAAUCCUUGGCUACACGCGAGAUCCACGCGCCAAAUCUCCUUCCGGAGCUUGUAGAAUCGAAGAUGUGUGGUGAUUAAGCUUUAGAAUCCCAUAAGCUAUGAGGGUCCGUCUUCUAAUCAAACAUCAACUUAAUUCUCGAAUAAGAUCUCGAGUAAAAUCAAAGAACCAAGUCGAUUGUUGAUUUUUCGAAACUUGUUAUGUGAGUAGAAGCAUUAGAAUGGAAAAACAAGUUUCUAGGGUAUAGAAUCAGUAAAAAUUCAAAGCAUUCAUCUUUAAGAUGACCCCCAUAGAUAAAUGUUUAGAAGACUUAGAAGUAGACUAGGAUUGCAAAAAGUCCUUUUUAAAAACAUGUGUCGUCCUCAGAGACCGGUCCUCUCGAGGAGACCGGUCUGUGAAAGACCAGUCUCUCAAGUGAGAGACCGGUCCCUCGCUGCGUGACAAGAAUCACAACGUUCGGGAACCGGUCUCUCAAGCCAGAGACCAGUCCCUCGCUGCGCGACAAAAAUUCCAAUGUUCGGGAAUCGGUCUCUUAUCUCAGGGGACCGGUUGCCUCAACAUUCACGCAGUGAGGACCUUAAGGGAACCGGUCUCUUCAACUAAGGGACCAGUUCCAGAACACAUAAAAGUUCAGUAAAAGAGUUUUAAAGCAAUUUAAGCCUUCUGAACUUAUUACAAUUAAACAUCUUCACCAUAAAUCAUCUAUUCUUCAUACCUGAAGUGCCGAGCUUUCCGAAUGAGUUUUUGUUCUUCAAUUUGAAUCUUUUCUUCAAACUUCCGCGAUCAACUCUUCAAAACUCCAUUCAACUCUACGAAAUCCGCCAACCUAUAAAAUCCUUAACAAUCUCCCCCUUUGGCGAUUUGGUGACAAAAUAUACUACAAAGCUCGUACACAACUCGAAAACAAUAAAAAGAAGAUCAUCGCAAUCAACAAACGAUGAUCUCCUGCAUGAUCGAUCCAAUAAACAAAAAUUACAUUUUUCACAAUCUUAAUACAGACUCUAUGACUUAGACAUGGAGUCUUGAAGUCUUGAAUAAUUCCUGCAAAAAUAUUCUAAAAACACAAUCAAGAUUCAAGCAUACUUAUCAUAAAAGAUCAAACAUAAACGUCAAAGCAAUCAAAGCAACAAGUCAUAGUUCAUAGUUCAUCCAAGCAACUAUCUAAUCUAAAUUUACACAACUAAGCUAAAAGCAUCAAAAGACAUCAUCAUCAUCAUCAUCAUCAGACAUCAUCAUCAUCACAAAAGACAUCAUCAUCAUCAUGAGCCAACAUAUCAUCUCCUCCUUUUUGUCAGAAAGCGCCAAAAUGACAAAAGGAGGAACCCCGCACAGUCAGUCGGAGUCGUCACCCUGCGGCGGAAGAUCUGAGCUGCAACAUCCCAGUUUAUCAAAGAUGGCCUUCAUCAACCGCUUGAUUUUGCUCACAUCUUUCUGUAUCUGAGCUUGAUCCGCAGAAAGUUUUUGAAGCUCCUCAGAUAACCUUUGUUGCUCACGAUAUACUGACGAAACCGAGACAUCCUCCUCAGAAAUAUCCAUGGAAGGACGGGAAGAAGUAGGAGCAGCAGGAGGUGGAGCAGCAAAAGGUGAAGAAGCGCGCUGGGACGGAGUUCGAAGCUGCACGGAGGACUUCACGAACGUCUUUUCAUUGAUCCGCCCCAAGCUAUGCUCAUACGAUGUGCAACGAAUAUCCACCUCAUGGAGUCGCAGAAUCCUCAUGAUAAUUAGUGGAAAUGGCAAUCUUUCAUUCUGUCCUGAAGUCUUGAUACCUUCGCCAUUCUCCGCCAGAUCAAAAACGGGAUAUUCAUGUUGAUAUUCUUUGCACUUACAAUGUCUGGCCUAGCCAAGAGAUACAUGUACAGGAUGCGAUCCCAUCUCAAAAUCUUCGUGUUUGCGAGAGGCAAAAUGUUGUAGCAAACCACGAAGUUCAAAAACCUGUACUCCAUUUUGAAGUCCUUGGACAAAACCGUAAUACCGUUUGACUCUGUUCCCGGCAUGCAAAUAGAGUUCACGACACGGUUCCAAUCACGAAGUGAGUCAAACCCGGCCUGCAGAUACUCCACUCCCUCAGUUCUUACUUCCAUUCCUAGCACAGACGCUAUCGUAUCGGGAGUGAUUGAUAACUCAACACCACGUACGGAAGUGGUGAAUACGUACGGGCCACCGUCGGAGUCACUCAAGUGACAUGCUCUCAUAUAGAAUUCUCUAAUCAACUCUAAACAAAACCCAGUUUGUUCCGGAAAAUCACAAAUCUGAUGAAGAUUUUCUUUUUCAAAUAAAUCCUGAAUUUCCGGCACACAGUCAAUGAUACUGGCAACGCCAACAUCGCGCUCACCAAUACAAUAUUUCGACGAGUGCAUUGACCUUCGAGCAGACGGAACAUCCUGCAGACUGAGACGCUGAGGCUCAGAAUCUGGUUCUCUAAUCUAAACACCUCCAGAUUUCCGACGACCGGUAUAACCAGAUGCCUUUCCUUUUCCUUUAUCCAUGGCUUUGCCUUUCCCUUUAUCAAUGGCUUUUCCUUUGCUCUUUUCUUUUCUUGUAUCCUUAUCCUUAGCCAACACCUCUGGAGUAAAAGCCUCCCAGUCCGGCUCGUCCUUCUCAGAUUCGUCGCCAGGAGCAUACUCAUUCCCUUCAUCUUGCGGUUGUUGCUUAACCGGCCGUUUACCUGAAGAGCGCUGUCGUUUGCUUCCGCGACCACCCCCGGCCAUCAGGACCACAAGCACAAGUAAUCAUGAAUACAUUUUGAAGAAAUCCCCUGUUAAACAUAAUGUUUUUUAUAUAUGAAACAUAAGAACACUUAAUUUUGAUCCCAAAAAAAAUUUCAACAAAUUGAUAUAUAAAUGCUAGAUAAUCCUAGGGGCCACAAAACAUGAGAAGCAUGAACAACGUAUGCAACAAAAAUUAGUAAAACCACAUGAUUCCCAAAAAAUUUUGAAAAAGCUAGGUUUUGAAGAUGAAAACCUACAAAAAUGACCAAAAGGAUGAAGAAAUACAAGACAAUACGAAGAUAACAAAUCUAAUAACAAGAUCGAAACACUAAAUGCAAAAAAUCUGAAACAAAACUCAUUUUCGGAGUAUAUGAUAAAAAUGCAACAAAAUCCGAAAAUCAUACCUAAAAUCAGUGCAAAUCCACAAGGAACGUGAGUAAACCUACUCUGGAGACAAGGGAGGAGCAAGGAGAACGCAGGGAAAGAAGAAAACAAAAUUUUGAAAGCAGUACAUAACACAUCAUGCGAAAAACCCUUUAUCAGGUCUGGCGGAUGGACCGGUCUCUCCUGCCUGGGACCGGUCCCAGAGCCUGAAAUUUCGAAAAAUUUUAAAUUAAGCCCAAAAUAUUCUAGAAAAAAUAUAAGUUUUUCCACAAUGUUCAAUCAUCAAAAUAACCAAUUUCCAUUCUCAACAACUUCAAAUAAAAUUUCAUAAAUAAUUUUUGAAAAGUCAAUUUCAAGGAUAUUCAAAUGUCAAAAUUGUUGACCCGAAAAUCAAUUAAAAUUCUAGAUACAUAUAAAAUAAAAUCCCAUAUAUCAUGCAAGAUCUAGAAAUUUAUUGUAUUGUUUUAUCAUCAUAUUUGUUAAAGAAAAUGUAUAAAUAAUUCUCAGAAUCGUGAAAUUAAAAUAAUAUGUUCAAAUUGAGUUAUGCACAAUAUUCGAGACAGGAGUGGCUCUUUGAGCAUCUUUUUUAUUAACAUUCCACCUUAUAUCACCUAUGAGAUGUAUAGAUCUUUGAGCAUUUUUCUUUUUAUCUCUGAAAGGUACUUUCCUUUUGUCUUAUAGAGAUACGUUAAUCAACAUGUGGUAGCUGCACACACUGACCGGACGACCGGGGUGGUAGCUCUUUCCUCCAUGUGGUGGUAGUUUUCACAUUCCCAGCAGGGAUGUAACUCUUUCCACAUCUUAAAUUUCAGAAACUUUCAUAACCAAAAUCGGAAAGACUCCCCCUAAAAUAGUGCAACCCUAAAGUCAAAAAUAUUAUUGCAAUUUCAAAAACAGAGAUAGUGUUAUUCUUCUCAUAAUUAAUAAUCAAACAAACAAUUGCAACAUUCAAAGUUCGAAGCAUGAGGUGUUGAAUUUGAUUCAGUAUGCUAAACAGAAUUUUAAUGAUUUGAUCGUUCAAAAAUUAUGACAAUAGAGAACAACCUUGACAGUGAACAAUCAAAAACUAAAUAUGAAACAAUUAAAGUCAAACAAUUGAGCUAACACUGACCAAAUCAUCUCCCAAAAACAGCAACAUUUUUCAAGAAAGUCAAUCGUCUCUCAAGCAUAAUCAGGAAAUACUGGAAACCAUGCACAAAAACAAAAUGCAACAUGCACAUGAUCUAUGGCCCAAUAGAAUAUAUCUAGAUUGAAGGAUUCAUACCAAUCGCCUUUCUUAAAUGCAGAAAACGUUUUUGAUCCAAAGGUUUGGUUAAAAUAUCUGCAAGUUGAUUUUCAGUCGAAAUAUAUUCAAGCUGUAGAAUGUUUGAUUCAACCAGUUCUCUUAAAAAGUGAUAUCUUAGUUCAAUAUGUUUUGUUCGUGAAUGUAAAACAGGGUUUUUAGAAAUAUUUAUUGCACUUGUGUUGUCACACAGAAUAGUAAGGGAGGAGGAAGGUAUUCGAUAGUCGCUCAGUAAACUUUUCAUCCAAAUCAAUUGAGUAGAGCAACUCCCGACCGCAAUGUAUUCAGCUUCUGCAGUGGAAAGAGCAAUACAGUUUUGUUUCUUACUGUGCCAAGCAACCAGACAGUGACCAAUGUAGAAACAAGCUCCACUAGUACUUUUCCGAUCAUCUGCAGAGCCUGCCCAGUCAGCAUCUGAGUAGCCGAUUAGAUCAAGAGAUGUUCCCAUAGGAUACCAAAAGCCAUAUGCGGUUGUACCUUUAACGUACCGAAUGAUCCUUUUAACCGCUUUCAGAUGAACUUCCUUAGAAUUUGCUUGAUAGCGAGCACAAAUUCCAACACUGAAAGCAAUAUCUGGUCUGCUCGCAGUUAUGUACAAUAGGCUUCCAAUCAUGCUUCUGUAUUGUUUCUCAUCCACGCUCUGUCUUUCCGAAUUCACCCCAAGUCCUUUGUUACUUGUACCCAUCGGAGUGUCAAAAUCCUUUGCACUGUCCAAUCCAAAUUUCUUAACCAAAUCUUUCGCAUAUUUGGAUUGACACAAGUGAAUUCCAUCUUUAGUUUGUUUAACUUGAAGUCCAAGGAAAUAAUUAAGCUCCCCCAUCAUCGACAUCUCAAACUCGCUUGUCAUCAAUUUUGCAAAAUCAUUGGCAUCCUUAUCUUUAGUUGCCCCGAAGACUAUGUCAUCAACAUAAAUUUGUGCCACAAUGAAAUCAUUCUUUAAGUGUUUUACAAAGAGAGUUCUAUCCGCUCCCCCUCGGUUAUAGCCCUUUUCAAAAAGAUAUUUUGUCAAGCGCUCGUACCAUGCUCGCGGAGCCUGUUUUAGUCCAUAAAGUGCCUUUUUCAGUCGAAAAACGUGAUUUGGAAAUUUUGAGUCUAUAAAACCUUUCGCUUGUUCAACAUAAACUUCCUCUUUUAAAAAUCCGUUUAGAAAAGCACUUUUAACAUCCAUUUGAAAAAGAGUGAUUUUAAAAUGGCAGGCAAUCGUGAACAAGAUACGAAUUGAUUCAAGACGGGCAACCGGGGUGAAGGUUUCAUCAAAGUCUAUUCCCUCAAUUUGUGAGUACCCCUGAGCAACAAGUCUCGCUUUGUUCCGAACAAUAGUACUAUCCUCAUUUUUCUUAUUCUUAAAUAUCCAUUUGGUACCUAUUAUGUGUUGUUGCUCAGGACGUGGCACUAAUUCCCAUACAUCAUUGCGGACGAAUUGACCAAGUUCUUCUUGCAUGGCAUUUAUCCAAUAUUCAUCACGUAGAGCUUCAUCAAUAUUCUUUGGCUCAAUCAGAGAAACAUAACAUGCAAAUUCACAUUGUAGCUGACUUCUUGUUCGCACACAAACAUUAGGAUCCCCAAUGACAUUCGAUAAAGGCUGAUCUCUUGACUCCGUCAGGGGUGUAGUCUCAGGAGUUGUACUAGGGAUUUCAGAUGACGUGCUUUGAGGCUCAGAUGAAUCAUUUGAUACAACAUUUUCAGAAGAUGCAAUAGAAUUGUCAAGUGCAGAAACAUCAUCAUUCACAGGCAAUACAAACGGAGAAUCAUUAUCAUCAUCAUUCACCAAAAAAGUAGAAGAAUCAUUCACAGAAGAACUUACAGAAGAAGCUUCAUCUACUUUUAUAUUGAUAGAUUCUAUCACCGUCUUUGUAACACACUGGACCUUUGCAAAUUGCGAGGUUCGAGUGUUUGGAUGUAUUUCGAGCUUUUCCACACUUGGUGGAGGGUUGUAAAAUGUUUCCCGACCCGAAAAGUUCGAAAUCUGGAACCUUGGACAAGUCCUGAGAGUUUUUACUCUCGGGGACCGGUCCCUGGAAGGAGAGACCGGUUCUCCCAGUGAGCAGUGUUGAGGCAGCCUGAGGCAACCGGUCCCUGGCAGGCGAGACCGGUUCCCGAACGCGUCUUCGCGGUAAGAGACCGGUCCCGCGCAGGGAGAGACCGGUUCCCGAACGCUGGUUUUUCGGGUUCGCAGCGAGAGACCGGUCCCUGCUGGGGAGAGACCGGUCCCUCUGGGCGAAAACUGCCCAGUCCGGGCUGACGUAUUUUUGGAUUUUUGAGGGACCUCCUGGGAUUUUGUUACUUUGGAUGGCCUAAAUAGCCCUUCCACCCUCUCUCUUUCUCAUUUCUCUCCUCACACUCCCUCCAUACCUUUGUUAGAGAGAGAAGAAGGAGGAGAAGAAGAAGGAGAAGGAGGGAAGAAGAAGUUUGGAGCCACUAGUGGACUUGGAGCACCUUCCUCACCCUCUCAUCUUCCUUGGUGCUAGAAGGCUUGGGCUUGGAGCUUGCAUAGGAGGAGACCUUCACCCUUGGAGCUAGGAUUGGAGCUUCUAAGGAGGUUUGUUGCCCAUUUCCCUCCUCUAGACCUUGUUUUGAUGGUUUUUGUAGUUGGAACCCUAGAAAUGAGAUUUAGGGUUGAUUUUUGGGGCUUCUUGAUCUAGGGCUUUUGGGGUUAAAUUGAUUGGUUUAGAACCUUCCUUGGGCUUGGAUUGGAAGGGUUCUAGCUCUCUUUUGGAGCUUUGGGAGAGAUUUCUACUCUUGAGGUUAGUUUUGGCCCUAUUUGUUUCUAGAUUGAUGUUUGAUCCUAUGGUUGGUCGUAAUGCUCUCGUAUCUCUUCGCUGAUCACUUUUAGGAUAUCUUGAGGCUCGUGGACAACUUUGUUCGGCGAAUCGAGACCCUACGUGACGGUUCGGUGGGUUUGACCUAGCCACACAAUGAGAAAUUCUCAUUUGUGCUUAACUUUGUGUCGUUAAAUGAAAAAGCAUGCAUAUUCUUGUUAUAUGUAUUUAUUAUGAAUUUUAGAAUGCUUAACAUGCAUAGGUUAUGUGUAGUAAAUUUUGGGACCUCUAUAUGGUAAAGAGCAUGCAUGUGUGGCCCAGCAUUCUAGUUGCGAUUUGAAAUUGUAAUCCCUAUUAUGAAAACGAACCUUGCUUUCAUGCAUUCAAACCAUAUACCAGAUGUGACAUUAGGGAUUUUUGAAAGCCUAGAGAGGCUUAGGGACUUAGAUGAUAUGUGAGAUUGGGCCAAUGUCAUGAAGAGGCAUUGGGGCCCGGGGCAUAGUGAGCAUUAAUGUUAAUGUCUUAAUUGGAACAUGAUUAGUUGUGGAGCUUAAGUGUCAUAAAGAGGCACUAAGCAAGUGUGUGUUGGGACUUCACUUUAUGACUUGAGCUAGAUCUUUGGGAUACUAGUGACUAUACCAUGUUAGAGACAUGAGGAUUGGGUACUUGAGACCGUGACCUCGCUUGUUUGCCAUUUGUGCUCAUUCGCACAUGCUUGUGAGGGUCGCUCCCCACAAGCCGGCACUCCGGAGUUGGCCUAUGCGAUUUUUGUUCGCUCGUGCGAUAUUGAGAAGCCUACGGGGUCGAGUGGGACAGACACAUUCCAAGAGUAGGGAUGUUGGGCUACCACAGGCACUUAGGCGGCACAAGCUGGACUACCUUUGGUAGGUCCUUAAUUGGAAAUGAAAAUCGAUACGGUGUUGAGAAUGAACAAUCACUACUAGAUAGGCUUAGUGGUUGGAUUACAUUUACAUGCAUAUAUCAUAGGGUUGAGACAUGUAGUAUACCUUACAGUUACCUAUUUCAUCACAGCAUACUUGGUUGCCACAAUAGAGCUUAUACAUCAUGGUUGAAUAAAAGGGUUGUAACAGUAAACUAUUGCCAUUGGUUACUUUUCCUUAUGAUAAAAUAGAUGUACAACACCUUGACAUCGUGCUUAUGAGGAAUAUAGUAGUGUAGCAUUCUGCUUAUGCAUUCUCUUUCAGCAGUCAUUUACAUACUCCUUUUUUUUUAUUGCUUAUGGCUUUUAGCAUUACUUACCCUUGUUUUUGGGGCCUAGUGGAGCAGGAGCUGAGGUCAGUAAUUGCCCACUGGGAACUAUAAAUUAUAGUUCUCAUGCCCUCUUUUCUCGUUGUUUUUCAGAGCCUUCCACACAGGGUGAGGCCAGGGAUCGCGGAAAGGGUAUCGCCUCGGGCUAGCGCGCUUACCGAGGGAUCGUUCGAUAGGUGGUCUACCUCUCGUGUUUUUCUUUUUGUGAGAGGUUGAGAGUUGUACCCGUAUAUGUAUAGAGACCACCAUCUUUGUACUAGAGACAGUUAUUGUACUACUUAUGGCUAUCUUUGUUUGACUAGCUUUAUUUCUUUACUUUGGUGUAGAUGAUAGAACUUUACUUGCUCUGAUAUCAUUAGUUGCUAGUUAUUUCACUACUUUUAUUUGUUCUAUCUCUUGCCUUCACUUCCGCUUUUCUUCUAGACGCCUUAUAUGUGUAGACAUAUGGCGGGUCUGGGCACGCUACCGGGAGGGCCUCCGCCGGUCCCGGGGCGUGACAGUCGUAGAUCGUAGAUUGUACGCACGAUAAGCACGACUUGUAGUAGAAUAACUAAGAAAAAUCCCUUCGUCACUUCGAGAGUCAAAUUUUUCAAGAUUUUCACAAUCCCGAAGGAUAAAACAUUUACUCCCGAAGACACGAAAGUAUUUAAUAUUAGGUUUCCUACCAAGCCAAAGUUCAUACGGAGUAUUCAAAGUACCCGGGCACACAUAAAUCCGAUUAAUAACGUAGAUAGCCGUGUUAACUGCUUCGGCCCAAAAGUGUAAAGCGAUUUUCUUACUAUGAAGCAUAACACGAGCCAUCUCCUGUACAACCCGAUUCUUGCGUUCAACCACUCCGUUUUGUUGGGGUGUAUAAGGAGCCGAGAAUUCAUGUUUUAUGCCAUUUGAAACACAAAAAUCAACAAAUUUUGAAUUUAUGAAUUCUUCCCCUUGAUCACUUCGAAUACGUACAAUUUUAUCAUUCCGUUCAGUCAUAAGACGAAGACAGAUUUCAGAAAAAGAAUCAAAAGUAUCAGCUUUUUCUCGUAAGAAGGCACUACAUACAAAACGAGUAAAAUCAUCAACAAUAAGCAAGAUAUAUCGUUUUCUACCCAAACUUUGAAUCCUAGAUGGUCCCAUUAAUUCCAUGUGAAGUAACUAUAAGGGCUUAGAUGUCCCUAAGUGGUUCAAAUUCUUAUGUGCGGAUCUAGUUUGUUUUCCUAAUUGACAACCCCCACACACAGCGUUUUCUUUGAAGUCUAUCUUAGGUACACCUCUAACAACCUCCUUCUUUGUUAUCUUGGAUAGCUCCUUAAAAUUUAUGUGACCUAGUCGUUCAUGCCAUAAAGUUUCAGUCUCUGAUGACGCUAGGUUACAAUAUUCAAUCGAAGAACUAGGAACUACAAAACAGUUAUUCUGAGAUCUAAUUGUCACGCCCCGCCCCGAAACCACCACCAAUUUGGCACGGUUCGGCCGCGGCGGCGGGCCACCGAACGGACAGCACCUCCCCUAUCUGCCCAAGGCUCAACACAGGAAUGUGUACAAGAAUUUACCCAGAAAAUUAAAUUCUAAACAUACACACUCACAAGGGCACAACCAGUGCCAAAAACACAAAGAGCAAACAAAUCCACAAGAUGCACAUGUGAAAUAAAGAGAGUACUUUACUAACUAUUACAUUAAUUCCAACCUUCUCAUUUACAUCAUUUUUUUUAAAUGAAUACAUUUGUCAUCCAAAAAUACAUAGCUCUCCAAAUCCUCACCUACAAUGAAUCUCUCUCAAUAUACAUAGGUGUACUAAUGCAAAAGGAAAGCUACUAUACUACCAUGGUCUCACUGAUCGGGCGCGAUGCCCUUGCCGCGGUCCUCUCUCUGCAGCCCUGAACCUACCACUGGAAAUAGAGUGGGGUGAGAACUAUCUUCCAUAGUUCCCAGUGGGCUCGGCCGCCGACUCUGCCGAUCUCCCCGCUAGGUCCAAGUGGGCACAAGCAACAAUAGAUAGAUAGAUAGAUAGAUAUGUAUCGGGAAGCUGUAAAUGCAAUAGUAGGAAAAACUAUGCUACUAUGCCCAUAAUCAUGAAUAUGAAUACAUGCAUCAUAUAAUAAAGGUUUGCUAUCAUGCUAACAAAUUCGAUCCAUGUUCGAAUAGCAAUGUUCAAUGACAUUAAUAAACCUUUGACCUUUCCAUUUACCCAAUCUGUGGCGAUGCCCUAGGGCUUGCCCAUGACUCACCUUUCAAUCCUAAAGUGGGGAAGGAGCUCCAAGUGCACCCAAGCCCGGGACCGUCUGCGGACCUCCAUGUGGUCCGGACCUCCAAGUGGUCCUAGUCGCACGACACUCCGGAGUACUCGACGACCAUCCCCUCCAUGUGGGGAUUGGAUGGCUAUACCAUCCCAAACGCAGACUGUGAGCUAGAUCUAUCAUCUCCAAGUAAGGAUACUCUACAACUAGAGUCAACAACUCAAUCAAGUCCUCUCCAAGUGAGGAUGCUAUCAACUAGAGUCAAUACCCAAUCGAGUCCUCUCCAAGUGAGGAAACACUAUCACUAGGGUCCACAACCCAAUCAAAUCCUCUCCAAGUGAGGAUGCCCCACCACUAGGGUCAAUGUCUCAAUCGACUCAUCAACAACCUCUCCAUGUGAGGCUACUUAGNUGCUAGUUAUUUCACUACUUUUAUUUGUUCUAUCUCUUGCCUUCACUUCCGCUUUUCUUCUAGACGCCUUAUAUGUGUAGACAUAUGGCGGGUCUGGGCACGCUACCGGGAGGGCCUCCGCCGGUCCCGGGGCGUGACACGUACAUGUGGGUACUUCGAUCCGAAGUCGGUACAGUGGUGCACGCUCGGUGACAUCUUCUUACCCUUGACUUUGAUUAUAAUAAUAAUGAUGAUGGUUCUUUUUUCCUUGUUGUCUUUUAUUAAGAAUGAAGAAUGAUCACAAUGUUACCUUGCAUAUAUAUAUAUAUAUAUAUAUAUAUAUAUAUAUAUAUAUAUAUAUAUAUAUAUAUAUAGAGAGAGUNGAUCACUAGGCAAAUGAUAUCGAAAAAUAAUAAAAUUUAUUUUCUAGGUACUCCAAAUACUCUAGAUCAAGUUUAACAGAGCCGAUCGACGAUUCGAAAGUCGCAACAUUGAAAACGAGCUGGAAGCACGGAAGGCUCCGUGCUUCCGAUAGCAUAGUAACCUCACUCUAUAUAUAUAUAUAUAUAUAUAGUGUUGAGCCUAGCACCCAUGUUGUUCCUGUUUUACUCUACUUGGUUGUUUUCAUGUCUAAUAUCAUGAGUAGGAGUAGAGCAGAUUUGUGAUUUCAUGUGAGAUCGGUGACCUAGUUGGUCGGUUCUUGUAUUCCGUAUUUGUGAUCUAUUCGGUCGGUUUAUUGCAUUUGUCAUCGUGACCUAGUUGGUCUGUUCUUGUAUCCCUUAUCUGUGACCUGUUCGGUCAGUUUACUGCAUUUGUUAUCGUGACCUAGUUGGUCGGUUCUUGUAUCCCGUAUUUGUUACCUAUUCGGUUGGUUUACUGCAUCUGUUAUUGUGACCUACUUUGUCGGUUGGACUACUUGAUGACCUAUGAGGUCAGUGUACCCUGAGGGGUAGGAUUGUCGGCUAGUGGCUGACGACUAGUUCUGGAUUAUACCGUUGCAUGACAUGACAUUCUUGUGACCUAUUGGCCGGUUCUUGUGCAUAUAUGUUAGUUGACAUUGAGUGGUCGAUACUUGCACACUUUAGGAAGGAUGUUAAGUUGUUCUAUCCUAGUUGACCUGAGUGGUCGGUAUUGUUUUCCCUACGGUUUGAUGACCUAUUGGUUGGUGUGCCCCGAGGGGUGGUGAUUGUCGGCUAGUUGCCGACGGUUGGCUAUUGAGCAUAUCAGCAUCGAUCGCCACAUACUCGUUCGCAUUUUACGAACACCAGCGGUCUGAUCCACCGCGGCCGGGUGUUUUUUUUCAAAAAAGUGGUUGGAUGUGCUAGCCCGUGAGCCUAGCCGUCAGAACUAGGUUAUAUACAGCCCGUGAGCCCAGCCGUCAGAACUUGGUUAUAUACAGGUAGAGUGGCAGUGGCGUUGGCUUGAGGUCUGCGGACCGUCAUGCCAGAUUUCUUAUCGGGUAUUUUUUGGACUGAUUGUCCGGUUGAUGCAUAUUUAUACUUUGAUCUGUAUUACAGUAGCGGCUAGUCAUAUUCCUAUAUAUUGUUGUUUACCCAUGCAUCAUUACUACUGUAAUUAUGAUAUCCAUAUAUGCAUUCUGUUCCAUUUUACAGUAGCGGUAGUUACAUGCUUUAUUACUGUUCCCUUUCCUUCAGACAUUAUAACUACUGUAGCUAUGAUAUCUACCUAUGACAUUGUUGAUCUCUUUCUGCCGGUGAGUACACCUUGCCUUCAUCAGCUUGCGGUACCCACUGGGAGGGGAGACAUGUGUACAUGUUCUGACCCCCGACCCCCCUUUCAGGUGACAUUGCUUGUCCGAGUCGGGACGGUUCGUGAGGUGCGUGUCUUAGCGAGCGAUAGAGCUAUCGGCUCGCCGUUUUGGUUAAACUUUUCAAACUUUUCUUUUAAUAAUUGAAUUAGUAUUUAUGGUUCAGUUGGUUUUCAGUUAUACGGGCAAAUGUGGUUUUGUGAAAUGAAUAAAGUACUAUGAUUUUCUUAUGAGAUGAAAACGAUUUUCUACCCCUCGUGGUAGCGCAUUUCUAAAGAAAAAGGGUUUCCGUGUGGGAAACAAUUUUAAAAAGAGUUUUCCUGAUUUUCAUGAUUCUUAGUGUUUCAAAAUGAGUUUCCGAGUAGGAAACGUUUUAAACUAAUAGAUGUGGAUUUAUGGUAAACUUGUGAUGGAAUAAAUGUAAUAUAGUACACUGAACUUGGCAAAUUGCGCAGUUCGAGUGUGGGAAUGACAUUUGGAACCCUUCUACAUCUUUUAAAGGGUGAUAGAGAAGUUUUCGGCAAGUUAGUGAAGUGAUCGAACGGCCGGAAAAGCGUAUUACAAAAUGUCAAAAUUGCAUUCUGCAUUGAGUACCGGUACCAAUGUGAUGGGGUACCAGUACCAGCACAAGCUGCUACGUGGCUGUGAGGAGAAUUCAAUCAUUUCACUUCUAAAACUUAUCUACAACCCCUAAGCUCGACCCCAGCAGCUCAACCCGCCGUCGCGCCGUUCUCGUGUGAACCUGAAACCCCAAAACCACGUGGGGUGAGAACUAUAUAAAUAUAGCUCUCAGUGGGUACGGUCACCCAAGGGAAGAGCUCGACCCACCAGGUCCAAAGGAGGCACUGCAAACAUAUUAGUCCAACAAAUAUCCACAUAUAUAUAUAUAUAUAAUUUAUGCAACUAACAAUUAUCAUUUUCAUGCCUCACAAUAUGCAAUAUGCGAAUCAUGAAAGUAGUUCACUUGAUUCUAUUCUUUACCAUUUGUCAUUCUUCAUUAUUAUUCGUUCUUGAUUACUAGCCAUUCUUUAUCGCUAGCCGUUCUCUAACGCUAGCCAUUUCUUAUUACUAGCCGUUCUUGAUUCUUAGCCAUUCUUUAUUAUUGCUAUACUUUAACAUUAGCCGUUCUUUAUUCUUUAUUCUUUAUUCUUUACUAAGGGUACUCACAACUUAGCCAUAUUAUACACAUUUGCCAUUCUUUCCUAAGGUUAUUUUACCUUAGCCAACUAUACCACUCGACUCGGUCUUGAGUCAAUCAACUGUGGAUAAUUCGCGCUCUAUCAGGCUCGAGGUGAAUGAACUAUCACAUACACCUCAGCCACCAAUCCACAAACCACAUAGCCCAAUGGGUAGCUUAGAACAGCGCACACCCGCGGUCAGGAAUCUUCCCGGUGGGAGGGGAGUAUACCACAUGCACCAUAGCAAUCCAAAAUUCUUCCGGUGGGAGGGGNUAUUAUUAGUCAUUCUUUAACACUAGCCGUUCGUUAACGCUAGCCAUUCCUUAUCUUUAGCCAUUCUUGAUUCUUAACCAUUCUUUAUUACUUGCAAUUCUUUAUUCUUUGUCACACUAUGGUCAUUUGCCAUUCUUUAUUAAGGUUAUUUUACCUUAGCCAACUAUGCUACUCGACUCGGUCUUGAGUCAAUCAACUGCGAAUAGUCCACGCUCAGUCAGGCUCGAGGCGAAGGACGUCUCACAUGCACCUCAGCCUUGAAUCCUCUCAACUGUAGGUCUUCUCAUAGGGUGAGGAAAUACCAUCAAACCCUGAACCACCGGUCACUCAACGGAUCUACGGGCGAGGAGAACCACACAUACCCGUUGAAUUACUGCCGGGCGAGGAGAACCACACAUACCCGCAGUUAUAAUUCACUUGCGCUUGAUCGCAAGUCUCAUCCGCUGCACUAGCAGCCGUUGCACUAGCAUCCUUCAUUCCUAGGGAUUCUGGAAUCCACAUUCAUGUCUCUAGGGUUGGUCUUAUACCCUACAGUGUCGACCUAUCGAGGUCCAAGCCAUUACUCAACCUAAGUUUAAUACAUUAGGUCCAAUGUCACUAUGUUCAUAGCCUAGGUUCUAUAAUACUAGGUCCGAUGUUCUUUACUACCUAGGUUCAUUUGACUCUAGGUUCAAUUCUCUACUUAUGUUCAAUGCCACUAGGUUCAAUGCCACUCAUGAUUUACCUAUGUUCAAUACACUAGGUUUCAAUACCACUCAUGAUACUUGUUAUCCUAAUUAUCCACACUUAGGAUUCUUUACAUGCCACACUUGUCAAGUUCUUUAUUCUUUCUCAAGUUCAUCGUCCACGAUUCAACAUUCACAUCUAGGCAUACAUAUCCUAUAUGCUUACUCAUGCCGAUGUCUUUAUCAUUCAAGGGUAAACAAUAUACCUCAUGCAUUCUUGACUAGCAUAUAUCAUAUGCAUUCAUGAUUAGCAUCUCUAUUAUGCAUUCUCAUUCAUAACUAGCAUCUCUAUCAUGCAUUCAUUAUUAGCAUACGUCUUAUGCAUUCAUUAGCAUCUAGCUCAUGCAUUCUCUCAACAUAUACUCUAUGCAUUCUUUAUUAGCAUCUCAAUCAUGCAUUCUCAUUCAUAACUAGCAUCUCUAUCAUGCAUUCAUUAUUAGCAUACGUCUUAUGCAUUCAUUAGCAUCUAGCUCAUGCAUUCUCUCAACAUAUACUCUAUGCAUUCUUUAUUAGCAUCUCAAUCAUGCAUUCUCAUUCAUAACUAGCAUCUCUAUCAUGCAUUCAUUAUUAGCAUACGUCUUAUGCAUUCAUUAGCAUCUAGCUCAUGCAUUCUCUCAACAUAUACUCUAUGCAUUCUUUAUUAGCAUCUCAAUCAUGCAUUCUCAUUCAUAACUAGCAUCUCUAUCAUGCAUUCAUUAUUAGCAUACGUCUUAUGCAUUCAUUAGCAUCUAGCUCAUGCAUUCUCUCAACAUAUACUCUAUGCAUUCUUUAUUAGCAUCUCAAUCAUGCAUUCUCAUUCAUAACUAGCAUCUCUAUCAUGCAUUUAUAUAACAUCUAUCUCAUGCAUACUAGAUUAGCAUACGAUACAUUCAUUUAGCAUUUAGCUCUUGCAUUCACUUAGCAUCCAACUCAUGUAUUCAUGUAGCAUUUAGCUCAUACAUUCACUUAGCAUAACUUAUGCAUUUUUUAUUAGCAUCUCAAUCAUGCAUUUAUAUCUAAAUUAUGCAUUUAUAUAACAUCUAUCUCAUGCAUUCGUUUAGCAUCUAGCUCAUGAAUCUAGCUCAUGUUAUUUAGCAUAUGACUCAUGCAUUCAUUCACUUGGCAAUUAACUACCAUUUCAUGCAUCAAUAAUGUAACACACUUCACUUUGGCAUGGAAGCGACCUAAUCGCUUCGGUAGAGCACAACCCACCUAAUAUUGCUCUCCGAUUGCUUGUAGUCACUUGUAACCAGCCUCCCGCGGCACACGUGUCCGGUUUGGCUCGCACUCGCCUCGCAAACGAUCACCGAACACUUGUCGAUUCUCAACUUAGAGUUGUUAGGAGCUCAUCUCUAGCCUUCAAUUAGAGAAAUACGGGGUUAUUAUAGAUCAAAACCCUUAAACCCCAAAACACUCAUUUCUAGCCCUAACUUUUCAUUUCUCCCAAAUAGCCUAAGUAUUCAUGGAGAAAACAUGCUAGAAACAUUCUAAGGGUUAUUAAAACACUAAGCAUUAAGGAUCAAACCAAAUUCCAAAAGCUUAACAAAAUGUGAACGCCAAGACAGAAGCACGCCACUCAACCAGGUGCACAAAGACCCGAUCCGACGCACCCAACGCGUUCCAAAGCUCGCUCUCCGCCAACACCGCGAAUUGAGAGAAAGACUAGAGAAAGGAGAGAGAUAUCUAGAGAGAGAAUGGGAGGGUUUCUCUCUCCCUCACCAUGCAUGUGUGUGUGUGUGGUGUGUACGGUUGAGAAGGGAAGAAGAAGCCCCACUACAUAAAGCCCUCCACCAACAUUACACAAUUUUAGUUUAGCAGCUUAGAAUCUGUUCCUUUUCGCCGGAGGCCUUCUGAAUGUCCGUUUAUGCUCAAAUUUGACAGUCAGGCUCGGUUUAAGCUAAUAAAAAGAAAUAUAUCUUAACUUUUCAUUUGGACCAUUUUUGGUCACCGAAAGCUCUACUGAACUGAAAUCUCUAGCAGAUAACAGUCGGAUUUUAUUUUUCACUUUCCGGGUGUCGGAAUGACAUGAAACAUUAAAUUUAGCCUCAUGAAAAUAAUUCCGACAUAUUUCCAAGUUUUCAUAAUUUUCUGACACUGUGAAUUUUCUGCUAAAAUAUCAGCUCCGUUUCUCACAGAAAAUUCUAAAUUCUCUGUUUCCGUUUCGAUUUCAGCACAAGUCGUUUCCGACUUAUAUUUUACUUCUUAAAUCCAAUAAAAAUAGUAUCUCACACUAUUUUUAUUUAUAUUUACUUUUAUAUUAAAAUUCGGUACAUUACACCUAUGCUUUCAUCAUCCAAUGGUAGUCAAUACAUAGCAUCUAUCUCAUGCAUUCACAAUUGCAAUUAAACUACCAUUACAUGCAUCAAUAAUACAACCAACUUCACUCUUUGGCAUGGAAGUGACAUAAUCAUUUCGGUGAAGCACAACUCACCUAAUGAUACUUUCCGAUUGCUUGUCGACACUUGCAAUCGGGCUCCCGUGACACACGUCGCCCGGUUCGGCUCGAACUCGCAAUCGAUCAUCGAACGCUCAUCGAAUUCCAACCUAGAGUUAUCAGGGGCUCUCUUUUAACCUUCAAUUAGAGAAUUAGGAGAUCAAUUAGGUUCAAAACCCUAAAACCUCAAAACCCCCAAUUCCAAACCCUAAUUUCUCAUAUUCUCCAAAUACCCCAAAAAUUCAUAGAGCAACAUGCUUAGAAUUAUCUAGGAUCUCUAGAAUACCAUUCAUAAAGGAUUUAAUCAAAAUCCUCAACUCUCAACAAAAUGCGAACCUCAAGUCGAAGGCACGCCAUACUACCAAGCGCUCAAAGACUCGAUCCAUCGCUCCCCAUGCGUUCCCGAGCUCGCUCUCCACCAAAACCCUAAGUUUUGGAGAGAGAUUUAGAGAGGAGAUGAGAGAAAACUAGAGAGAAAAAGGAGAGCUUCUCUCUCUCUCUCAAGUGUGUGUGUGUGUGUUUUGCGUUGGCUGGGGAAGAAGGAGAAGGAAGGGUUCUCCUUUAUAAGCCUAUGCCUUCAAUUUACCAAAAUGCCCCCUUUCUGGGCAACCCGCGUGUACGGGGUUUGGACCUUGCACUCAGGGUCCGGACCCCGAGAGCACUUCCAGCUUGAAAUGACCUGGAGUUGGCGGCCGUAGUCUUUGCAUUGAAGCUAUGGCGCCAUUACUUUUAUGGCGAGUGGUGUGAAGUGUAUACGGAUCACAAGAGCUUAAAAUACUUAUUCACUCAAAAGGAGUUGAACUUGAGGUAGCGCAGAUGGUUGGAGCUCCUCAAGGAUUAUGAUUUGACAAUCCUUUACCACCCAGGCAAAGCUAACGUGGUGGUGGAUGCGCUAAGUCGGAAAUUGACGGAAAACUUAGCGAUGCUUGUGGUUACUGAACCGCCCUUGAUCGAGCAGAUGAAGCGGUUGGAGUUAGAGGUGGUGGCUCCUGAUAUUCCUUUGAGGUUGAUGGCUUUGGUGAUGUAACCUAACCUUUUGGAUAAAAUCAAAGAAAAGCAAGCUCACGAUGUGGAGUUGCAAAGGCUUAGAACUAAGAUGGUUGAGGGUUGCACCGGUGACUUUACUGUGGACGGUGUUGGAUUGAUGCGUUUCCGCGGUUGUGUGUACCGGCGGAUUUGAAUAUUAAAGAGGACAUUCUUCAAGAAGCACACCGUGCACCCUAUGCGAUACAUCCGGGAGGCAUCAAGAUGUAUAAGGACUUGGAGUUGCUUUAUUGGUGGCCCGGGAUGAAAAAGAACGUUGGUGAGUUUGUUGCUAGAUGUUUAACUUGCCAACAGGUGAAAGCUGAGCAUCGAGUCCAUGCGGAAAAAUUACAGAGCUUACCGAUUCUAGUAUGGAAAUAGAAGAAAAUCACCAUGGACUUCGUGAUAGGAUUGCCUCGCUCACAGGUCGGGCAUGAUGUUAUUUGGGUGAUCGUGGAUAGGUUGACGAAAUCGGCUCAUUUCAUACCUAUUCACACUACUUGGACUGGUGAGAGACUCGCACAGGUAUAUCUUGAUGAGAUUGUUCGAUUACACGGGGUACCUACUUCUAUAGUUUCGGAUCGAGAUUCCCGUUUUGUAUCUCAUUUUUGGAGGAACUUAUAGGAUGCCUUGGGCACGCGCUUAUAUUUCAGUACAGCUUUCCACCCCCAGAGUGACGGGCAGUCGGAGCGCACUAUACAGACUCUUGAGGAUAUGCUUCGAGCCAGUGAUCGACUUCCAGGGAGGAUGGUCGCGGCAUCUACCGAUAGCAGAAUUUUUUUAUAACAAUAGUUAUUAAGCAAGCAUCAAUAUGGCACCCUUCGAGACACUUUAUGGGCGAAUGUGUAGAUCGCCACUUCAUUAGAGUGAAGUUGGUAAGAGAUUGGCUUUAGGCCCCGAUGUGCUCCAGGAAGUAGAAGACAAGGUUCGUAUUGCUCGGGAGCGACUGUUGACAGCCCAGAGUAGGCAGAAGAGUUAUGCUGAUAAGCAUCGACGAGACUUGGAGUUUCAGAUUGGAGAUCAUGUCUUCUUGAAAGUCUCGCCGACCAGGAAAAUUAGAAGAUUUGGGAUCCGGGGUAAGUUGAGCCCCCGAUUUAUUAGACCGUAUAAGGUUUUGGAGCGUGUAGGCCCGAUAGCGUAUCGACUUGCUCUACCACCGAAUCUAUCGAGUGUACACAAUGUAUUUGAUGUAUCGGUCCUUCGGAAAUACAUCCAUGAUUCGGCUCAUGUUUUAGAUGCUACACCAUUGGAGCUGAGGAAUGAUUUAAGCUUUGAAGAGCAACCUUUGAGGAUUUUGGCUCGCGAGGUGAAGAGGCUACGGAACCGUGAGAUUCCCUAUGUGAAGGUGCUUUGGAGUAACCACGAUGAAUGCGAGGCCACUUGGGAGUUGUAGAGCGCACUGCAGGAGCGCUAUCCCCAUCUUUUUCAGAUGGAGACUUGAGGUAUUUUGCUUCUUGAGUUUCGUAGAUGAAACUCCUAUUUAGGAGGGGUGAAUGUAACACAUUGGACCUUUACAAAUUGCGAGGUUCGAGUGUUUGAUUAGUGUUCUGAGUUUUUCUAGAUUUUCUGGUGGGUCGUUGACAGUGUUCCGACCUAUGGCUCGUAUCCCGAGAAUUGAUAUAUUUAAAGUAGUGCUAAGGUCACCAAAGAGGAGGACUUAGGCUGCUCUCGGGUUGCCUUCUGCAGGAUUGUGUACUGGUACAUCUUGAUGGUUGUACCGGUACAGAAAGUGUACCGGUGACAACUCGAUAGUUGUACCAGUUCAGAUGUGGUUUAUGGCCAAUCCGAGCCUUGAGUUUGCGCAUUCGUGGGAUUUGUACCGGUAUACUUUCUCGUGUACCGGUACACUUUGCCAGAUUGCAAACUGGCAGCUUUUGAGGGGUGUAUUUGCUAUUGUUGCUUCUCUAUACAUACCCCACGGCCUUUAGAGGGUUCCCUGAGCUGGGAAACAGUGGAGACAAGGUAGGGGACCUCCUCUCUUUCCCUCUUUGGAUUUGAUCUCCAUUUUGCAUGGAUUUUGGUGGAUUAAUCCCUUCUUUUUCUUCUUGGUGCAAAUUCCACCUUGGGAGAAGCUUGGACUUCGAGUUUGGAGCUUGAUAGGAGAGAGAUCUUCAAACCUAGUGGACUUUGAUCCUUGUUUGAAGCUUCUAAAGAGGUUAGUUACAUACUUCUCCUCUCUAGAUCAUGAUUUGGUGGAUUUUAUGUGUGAAAACCCUAGAAAUGGAAACUUAGGGUUUAUUUGGGUAUUUUGGACUUAGGGCUUUUGGAGCUUAAUUCCUUGGAUUAGAACAUUCCUCUAGGUUGGAUUGGAAGGGUUCUAGCUCCCUUUUGAAGAUCGAGAGAGACUAUCACCGUCAUAGGUGAGUUUUUGCCCCUUUGCUAGAAAUGCUUAAUGAUUGAGUUUAGGGUUGUUCGUAACGUUCGUGUAUCUCUUCUCUUGUUACCUUUAGGGUGCUAGAAGAAUAGUGAGCAACUCUGUUCGGCGAAACGAAGGAGUUUUAGCGGAGCUUCGGUGGGUUUGACCUCACCAAAGAAUGAGAAAAUCUCAUUUUUGUUGAUUUAAGUAUCGUAAAAUGGAAAAUGAUGCAUUUUCAUGUUAGAUAUAUUAUUUAUGAAUUUUAGAAUGCUUAAAAUGCUUAUGUUGUAUACAAUGCAUUUUUGGACCUUUAUGUAGUAGAGAGCUUGCAUGUGAGACUUAUGCAUGAGUUUAGCAUUCGCAUUCGGGACUUAGAAUCAUGUUUCGUAUAGUGAAAAUGACAAUGUUAUAUGCCCUUGGACAUAUGAGAAUACAUUAGGCCAUGAAGUGGCUUGGGACUUGGAUAUCAUGUGAAUUAAUGAGCUAAUGUCAUAAAGUAACAUUGAGCUUGAUUUAUGUAUGAACCUAGUAAAUAAUGUCAUAAAGAGGCAUUAGAUUAGAGUGAUAUGUGAAUUAGGGAGCUAAUGUCAUAAAGAAACAUUGGGCUCGGAAAUGGGACUUAGCAAGCUAAUGUCAUAAAGAGACAUUGGGCUCGGAAUUGGUAUAGUAAGCUAGUGUCACAAAACGGCAUUGGGUUUGGACUAGAUAUGGACUUAGCAAGCUAAUGUCAUAAAGGGGCAUUAGGCUUGGAAUAUGCGCGGACUUAGUAAACCGAAUGUCAUGAAGUGGCAUUAAUGUUGGAACAAGAUUUGGGCGUAGUGAAAUAUAAUGCCAUAAAGGGGCAUUGGACAUAAUGAAUGGUUAAACCUUCACUUGGGAUAUUGGACUAGACCUAUGGGUUGCUAGCGAUCAUUUCCAUGGUUGAGCCAUGAUGACCGGAUCGUUGUGACGAUGACAAUGCUUGCUUACUUGCCAUUUGUGCUUAUUUGCACAUGCUUGUGAGGGUCGCUCCCUACAAGCCGGUACUUCGAAGUUGGCCUACGCGACUUAUGCUCGCUCGUGCGGUAUCGAGAAACCUACGGGGUCGGGAGGUAUAGACUCAUUCCUAUAGUAGGAAUGUUGGAACUACCACCGACAUUUAGGUGGAACAAGCUGGACUACACUUGUGUAAGUCCCCAAAACAAAAUUGAACAAUGACAUCAAUCCAUAAAUGAUAAUUACUACUAAAUAGGGUGUAGUAGUUGGAUCACCUUGCCAUGUACAUAGCAUAGCUGUGAGCAUUUGAGAUAUGUAGUAUACUUGGUAAUAUCGCUCAUUGCAUUAUAGUAUACUUGCUUGCCAUGUGGGAUCAUACUAGAUAUGUGUUGGACAUGCUUGAUCAUGAUAGAAUGAAUGUAUAAUAUAUUGUCAUCAUAUUACUUAUGGCCUAGUAGUUUAGCAUUCAAUACAUGCUUUCAUAUCUGCAGUUUAUUUUCAGUUGUUUAUCAUAUCUACUUUACUCGUUUGGGCCUAGUGGAGCAUUGUGCUGAGGUCAGUAAUUGCCCACUGGGAACUAUAAAUUAUAGUUCUCACGCCCCCUAUUUCUUGUUUCCUUUCAGAGCCUUCCACACCGGGUGAGGCUAGGGACCGCGGAAAGGGUAUCGUCUCGAGCUAGCUUGUUGGCGAGGGACUUAUCGAUAGGUGGUCUACAUCUCAUUGGUUUUAUUUUGGAGAGGUCGAGAGUUGUAUCUAUGUAUAGUGACAACCCCUUUUGUAUCUCGAGACAGUUGAUGUAUUUACUUUAUAUUAUAUAUUAGUGGAUUAGUUUUCUUUCUCUCUACUUGUUAUUAGAAUUUAGCUGUUGUUGCCCUGAUAUCUCUAGUUGUCUUACUUCUACUUGCUUUCAUAUCUCUAUUAUUGUAGACGCCUUACAUGUGCAGGCAUAUGGUGGGUCUAGGAUAUGUGCAGGCAUAUGGCGGGUCUGGGCACGCAUCGGGCGGGCCUACGCCGGGUCCCGCGGCGUGACAUCUAUUAUGCUCUAAUAGUGUAAAUUUGCAAUGAAUGCAUGUUCACACUCAAAUGAACAAAAAUUGAAAUCUCAUAAGAUUGUUCUAUUAUGUCUUAAAAGUGUAAAUUUAUAAUGAAUAUAUAUUCAAAUUUAAACAAACAAAAAUUAAAAUCUCAUAAUACUGUUCUAUUAUAUGCUAAGAGCGUAAAUUUGUAAUGAAUAUGUGUUUACAUUAAAAUGGACAAAAAUUAAAACCUCAUAAGACUGUUCUAUUAUGCCUUAACAGUAUAAAUUUGCAAUGAAUACAUGUUCACAUUUAAAUAAAUAAAAAUUAAAACGUAAUAAGAUUUCUAUUAUACUCUAAGAGUGCAAAUUUGCAACGAAUAUAUAUUCACAUUCAAAUGAACAAAUAUUAAAACCUCAUAAGACUGCUCUAUUAUGACCGAAGAGUGUAAAUUUACAACGAAUACAUAUUCACAUUCAAACAAAUAAAAUUUAAUCAUAUACGUGAUCUAUAAACCAUAUAUGUGUGUGAAAGAGACUGUACUAUACAAGUAGCAAUUUCUAAACCCUAACCCUAAAUUAUGAAUUCUACAAAUACAUAUAAAAUAAUCAUUCAUAGAAGUAUCCUAGUAUGUUUUGUUUUAAGCAGUAUAGCAAGGUAACUCCUAAAUAUCUCAUAACAUCGUUCUACAAAUCCAUAGGAGUAUAUAUUUGCAAUGAAUACAUAUGUCUUAUUAAACGAACAAAACUUAAUCAUAUGCGUCAUCUAUAAACCAUAUGUAUGUGUGUAUGAUUGUGGUAUACAAGUGAAAAUUUAUAAACCCUAAUCCUAAAUUAUGAAUUAUAUGGAUAUAAACAAAAAUAUAGGCACCAGUAAAUUUGUAUAGCACUAUUCUACCAAUCCCUAAAUUAUAUAUUUGCAAUGAAUAUAUGUUCUACAUUCAAACGAACAAAAUUUAAAACCUCACAGCACUGUUCUAUUAUGUCGUAAUAAUACAUAUUUGUAAUGAAUACAUGUUAACUAUUCUAAACCGAACAAAAUUUAAUUAAAUGCGUGAUGUAUAAACAGUAUGUGUGUGUGUGUGACUGUGGUAUACAAGUAGCAAUAUCUAAACCCUAACCCUAAAUCCUAAAUUUAUAUAAAUACAACAAAAAAUAAUAUAUACCAGCACAAUUGAAUUUGAAUAGUUUUCUCAAAUUGAGUGAAUUUAAUAUCUCUCGAUUAUGAAGACAGCGGCACGACAAGGCGAAUGUGAUGAUGGUAACCAAACCCUAAAAAUAUGAAAUUUUAUGUUAAAUAAGAAAUAAAAGAAUAAAAUUAUAGGACUUAUAGAAGAUUAGAGGGUUGUGGCUGAAAAGUCGAAAAUUGCCCCCAAUUUUGGGUGCCUACGAGCGUAUGAACGAGUAGCAGGUCCUGCGAUGGAUAGGGGAGGAGAGCGGAGCGGAGUAUCCUACAAGCGACGAGAGGUGAGCUCCUACCGAUGGAGACAGGCGAGAGCGAGAGAGAUCUCUGAGAAGGUUGGAGUAGGGAUUCCUAGAUAGCACAAAAGAGAGCUUGGGAGAGAGCUUGGGAGAUAGCAACAUGGGAAUGUGUGGAACGAAAGAAAGGCGGCAUGAGAGGCGAGCUCCUGCCGAUGGAGAGAGACAAGAGCGAGAGAGAGCUCUGUCGAUGGAGAUAGAUGACAGCGAGAAAGAGCUCAGAGAGCGCGAGACAGAGCUUAGAGAGCGCCAGAGAGAGAGCUUGGGAGAGAGCAGGGGAAUGCGUGAAAUGAAAAUAAGGCGGCGUGAGAAUAUACACGCACUUAAUUCCUGUUUAAUCUCAACCAUCUUUGUUUGGGGUGUAAGAUAUAUACACCCCAAACAGGAGUGUGCAUGUAGACUUUUCCUUUUUUCAAAUGGUAAACUUCAAUUUAUCCCAUUGUAGUUUAGUAUGUGUUUUUUUUGUAACUUUGUACUUCAAGAAGUUAUCCUUAAUUAGGUAUUUUGUGGUUUAGCGAAUUUUCACUUCGUCAUCAUGUGGUUCAAAAAUUUAUACUAAAUUAUACUAUGAUUUUAUUUUGCUUCGCUAUAAAGAUCUAUCGUUAAGUAGGAUAACAUCUUAUAAUUUUUAAAACAUUUUAUUUUACUAUCCUGUUUGGUCGUAGAUUUUUCGAUUAAAUAAAGAUAAAAUUUUUAAAAAAUUAAAUAUAUUUUUUUAUAAAAAAUAAAAAAAUAAAAAAGCUAAACUGUAAAGAGAUAAAUUAAAGUUUAUUAAAAAAAAACCUAAACUUCGUGCGAUCAUGCUUUUGCCAAAGUCGCUGUGGCAUUCUAAAGCCCACAAAUCUCCACAUCAGCGUUUUUGGGCCCAAACGAUGUGCACUCCAAGCGACGGACGGUCACAAAACAGUUGAAAGAUCGUCCUCGCCCUAGUAACGACGAUACGCGCAUACCAAACAAAAGAAAACAAAACAAGAAAAAUCGUCUUUUCGCUGCUCCCUGUUAUCACCUCCCUCCCGUAGUAAGCAGAUUAUAGCGGAGUUGGGUAAUCCGGAGGAGCCAAUAGGAAGGCGAGCCGCAUCGUUCGCUAUCCCUACUCCUUACCCACGCCCCGGCCCCAUUCACGGGCUCAGAUAAGCCCCCAAAAUCCCCCUCUCGUCCUUGCCCCUGUGCUAAAACAGAACAAAUCACUCUUCUCGUUCCUAUCAUGGCCACGUGUCUUAGGUUCCACCACCAGCCUCUGCACUCCCACAGCCCUAAAUUCCCUCCACCGACAUACCGCUCGCUCUUUCCUCCUCACUCUUUAAUGGACUAUACAUACCCACCGUCCCUCCUCUUCCUAGUUUUAGCGGAAGAGAGAAGGGUACUGCCCCUUUCUCAACAGCAAUCAAAAAAGAGAAAAAGUAUAUGUAUAAAGAACAGAAUUGGAAGAGUGCUUAAAGAAAGCAAGAAAGAAAGGUUUUGAAGAAUGUCGUCCCUGGUCUCCACCCCCUUCACCCACCCCAGUUCGGCGAGAAUAGAGCUGCUCUCCUCUGCAUCCCAGAGGCACCACAUUUUUCUCCACUCGUUCCUCCCCAGGAGCAGCAGCAGCGGUAGCAGUAGCAGGUCGGUCCGCAAUGGCCGGACGGUGCGGUGCGCCGUACUAGGCAACGGGCUGUUCACGCAGACCAACCCCGAUGUGCGCCGCAUCGUGCCCCCGGACGCGGACCGGAGCCUCCCCAGGGUGAAGGUGGUCUACGUGGUCCUCGAGGCCCAGUACCAAUCCUCGCUCUCCGCGGCGGUGCGCGCCCUCAACGCCGAGCGCCGCUACGCCUCCUUCGAGGUCGUGGGCUACCUGGUGGAGGAGCUCCGCGACGAGAGCACGUACCGGACCUUCUGCGAGGACCUCGCGGACGCCAACGUGUUCAUCGGCUCUCUGAUCUUCGUCGAGGAGCUGGCGCUCAAGAUCAAGGCGGCCGUCGAGAAGGAGCGCGACCGGAUGGACGCCGUUCUCGUCUUCCCGUCCAUGCCGGAGGUAAUGCGGCUCAACAAGCUGGGCUCCUUCAGCAUGUCGCAGCUCGGGCAGUCCAAGAGCCCCUUCUUCCAGCUCUUCAAGCGGAAGAAGCAGUCCGCCGGGUUCGCCGAGAGCAUGCUGAAGCUGGUGCGCACGCUGCCCAAGGUGCUCAAGUACCUCCCCAGCGACAAGGCGCAGGACGCCCGGCUGUACAUCCUCAGCCUGCAGUUCUGGCUCGGCGGCUCCCCCGACAACCUCCGGAAUUUCCUUAAGAUGAUCGCCGGCUCCUACGUCCCGGCUCUCAGGGGCGCCAAGAUCGACUACGCCGACCCGGUGCUGUUCCUCGACAGCGGUAUUUGGCACCCGCUGGCCCCCUGCAUGUACGGCGACGUCAAGGAGUACUUGAAUUGGUACGGGACGCGGCGCGAUGCCGACGAGCGGCUCAAGGACCCGAACGCGCCGGUUGUCGGAUUGGUCCUGCAGAGGAGCCACAUCGUCACGGGCGACGACGGCCACUACGUCGCUGUGAUCAUGGAGCUGGAGGCGCGGGGGGCCAAGGUGAUACCCAUCUUCGCGGGCGGGCUCGACUUCUCAGGCCCGGCGGAGAGGUACCUGAUCGACCCCGUCACUGGCAAGCCAUUCGUCCACGCCGUGGUGUCGCUCACGGGGUUCGCGCUCGUGGGCGGCCCGGCUAGGCAGGACCACCCGCGGGCGAUCGAGGCGCUGAGCAAACUGGACGUGCCAUACAUUGUGGCUCUGCCGUUGGUGUUCCAGACCACCGAGGAGUGGCUGAACAGCACCUUGGGAUUGCAUCCAAUUCAGGUGGCGCUGCAGGUCGCUCUCCCGGAGCUCGAUGGUGGAAUGGAGCCCAUCGUGUUCUCCGGCCGCGACCCGAGAACAGGCAAGGCAUCACCUGCACACACGCGCGCGCGCGCACACACACACUCUCUCUCCUUCCUUUCAUUUCUUUUCUUUUCUAGUCCUCUUCUUUCUAAAACUAAGUAUGAUGUAUUGUAUUUUUAAAUAAAGGCUAACUAUCGGAUGUGGGUGUGUUUUGGGCCCAGGGAAGUCACAUGCGCUGCAUAAGAGGGUGGAGCAGCUGUGUACGAGAGCAAUCAGGUGGGCAGAGCUGAAGAGAAAAUCUAAGGUAUGUUUUUUGCUGUUUAGUUCUGCUUUUGUUUGUGUGGAACUUAUUUUACUACGGCGUUCAUUACUCUAAGCAUCUUUCCUUGAUAGUGGUUAGGGUUGGAUAAAAAUAGGCGUAACAGCACCUGCUAAUUAAUACAUAUAACGUGCUAGCAUGCCUUAUCCCUUUCUCUACCCUAAGUUCCAGCUAUGCUACUCUAGCCCCAUUACCUUAAAUCAAAACUUGCUCCAACGAUAUGAUCCAAUAUGCCUAUUAUCCUUUGGCUUGGAAAUUUUCACAUUCAUUGUGACAGCAACAAGUUAACUGAUUUGCCAAAAUCAAUACAUUCCAGAGAGUAAACUAGAAUGUUACCAAAGUAACUAUGCAUGAAUUUGAUGUAAUUGCUAUGUAAGAUGCCACACCAAAAGAAUACUUGUGUUGCGGAAAAUACAGUUGGUUACAUAGAAAUUUUGAUUUGUCCUUUCUUUCUAUUGUAACUUACAUGUAUUUUUCCUCUUGGCAUCAGGUAGUUUGUACUAAAACUUUUCUCAAUUGUUUCAACAUCAUUUUUGUGACUCACUGCAGGAAGAGAAGAAGUUGGCAAUCACUGUCUUUAGCUUUCCGCCUGACAAGGGCAACGUGGGCACAGCUGCCUACCUGAAUGUCUUCUCCUCCAUCUUUUCCGUCCUUCGAGACCUCAAGAAGGACGGCUACAAUGUGGAGGGCCUUCCUGACACACCUGAAGCGCUCAUCGAGGAUGUCAUCCAUGACAAGGAGGCCAAGUUCAGUAGCCCCAACCUCAACAUCGCUCACAAGAUGAGCGUGCGUGAGUACCAGCAGCUAACACCUUAUGCGUCCCUGUUGGAGGAGAACUGGGGCAAACCCCCUGGCAAUCUCAAUUCUGACGGCCAGCACCUCCUUGUUUAUGGAAAGCAGUACGGCAAUAUCUUCAUUGGGGUGCAGCCCACUUUUGGAUAUGAAGGCGACCCAAUGCGCCUCUUAUUCUCCAAGUCGGCUAGCCCUCACCACGGCUUUGCUGCAUACUACUCCUUUGUGGAGAAGAUCUUCAAGGCUGAUGCUGUUCUCCAUUUCGGCACUCAUGGUUCUCUUGAAUUCAUGCCUGGGAAGCAGGUUGGGAUGAGCGACGUAUGCUACCCUGACAGCCUCAUUGGAAACAUUCCCAACAUCUACUAUUAUGCAGCUAACAAUCCGUCGGAGGCCACCGUUGCCAAGCGAAGGAGCUAUGCAAACACUAUAAGCUACUUAACACCGCCGGCUGAGAACGCAGGGCUUUACAAGGGACUCAAGCAACUUGCAGAGCUCAUCUCGUCUUACCAAUCCCUCAAAGACACUGGUCGAGGGCCACAGAUUGUGAGCUCAAUCAUCAGCACUGCAAAGCAGUGCAACCUUGACAAAGAUGUGAGCCUGCCGGAAGAAGGGGAGGAGCUUUCCCCUGAGGAGAGAGACCUCGUGGUUGGAAAGGUGUACUCAAAGAUUAUGGAGAUCGAGUCCCGGCUUCUGCCUUGCGGGCUCCAUGUGAUUGGCGAGCCUCCCACUGCCAUGGAGGCUGUGGCAACGUUGGUGAACAUUGCUGCUCUCGACCGUCCUGAGGAUGGUAUUUACUCACUUCCAGGCAUACUGGCGGAGACUGUAGGCAGAAACAUUGAGGAUGUGUACAGAGGAAGUGACAAAGGUAUUCUGGCUGAUGUUGAGCUUCUUCGGCAAAUAACAGAGGCAUCGCGCGGUGCGAUAUUCACCUUUGUGGAUCGGACAACGAACAAGAGAGGGCAAGUUGUCGAUGUUGCUGAGAAGCUGACCUCGAUGCUUGGGUUCGGCCUCAGUGAGCCAUGGGUGCAGUACCUGUCCAAGACCAAGUUUCUCAGAGCAGACAGGGAGAAGCUCAGGACCUUGUUUGAGUUCUUGGGAGAGUGUUUGAAGCUGGUUGUGGCGGACAAUGAGCUUGCGAGUCUGAAACUGGCCCUCAAGGGCAGCUAUGUGGAGCCCGGCCCUGGCGGGGAUCCAAUCCGAAACCCGAAGGUGCUUCCCACUGGGAAGAACAUCCAUGCACUGGACCCUCAGGCAAUUCCAACUGCAGCUGCAAUGCAGAGUGCCAAAGUGGUGGUCGAUCGGCUGAUAGAACGGCAGAAGGCAGACAAUGGAGGGAAAUACCCUGAGACAGUCGCUCUUGUGCUCUGGGGUACCGAUAACAUCAAGACUUAUGGGGAGUCUCUGGCCCAAGUGCUGUGGAUGAUCGGUGUCAGGCCCAUUGCUGAUACCUUUGGCCGUGUGAACCGUGUGGAGCCUGUCAGCCUUGAAGAGCUCGGCCGGCCUAGGAUCGAUGUGGUUGUCAAUUGCUCUGGUGUUUUCAGGGAUCUCUUCAUCAACCAGGUAUGUUGAUUUUCAAACUGUCUAUAGAUCAUAUAAUGAUAUGCAAUCUCUUUCUAGUCAGCACCGAACCGAACUAUAUAUGUUUGAUACGGUGAUGCAGAUGAAUCUGCUUGACCGGGCAGUGAAGAUGGUUGCAGAACUGGACGAACCUGUGGAGCAAAACUAUGUCCGGAAGCACACCUUGCAGCAGGCGCAGGAGUUGGGCAUGUCGGUGCGUGAGGCAGCGACACGCGUCUUCUCGAAUGCAUCAGGCUCCUAUUCUUCCAACGUCAACCUGGCGGUGGAGAACUCGUCAUGGAACGAUGAGAAGCAACUGCAGGACAUGUACCUCAGCCGCAAGUCGUUCGCGUUUGACAGCGAUGCUCCUGGGGCGGGCAUGAUGGAGAAGCGCAAGGUGUUUGAGAUGGCGCUAGCGACGGCCGAUGCCACGUUCCAGAACCUGGACUCUUCGGAGAUCUCGCUGACUGAUGUGAGCCACUACUUUGACUCGGACCCGACGAACCUGGUGCAGUCACUGCGCAAAGAUGGCCGGAAGCCAAGCGCGUACAUUGCCGACACGACGACGGCAAAUGCACAGGUGCGGACGCUGGCUGAGACGGUGCGGCUGGACGCGAGGACGAAGCUUCUGAACCCGAAGUGGUACGAAGGGAUGAUGUCGAGCGGUUAUGAGGGAGUGCGGGAGAUCGAGAAGCGACUAACAAACACUGUGGGGUGGAGCGCGACGUCAGGGCAGGUGGACAACUGGGUGUAUGAGGAGGCCAACACGACGUUCAUCGAGGACGAGCAGAUGCGGAAGCGGCUUAUGCAGACCAACCCCAACUCCUUCCGGAAGCUUGUGCAGACAUUUCUUGAAGCUAGCGGCAGGGGCUACUGGGAGACAUCUGAGGAGAACCUUGAGAGGCUUAGGCAGCUCUACUCUGAAGUCGAGGACAAGAUCGAAGGGAUCGAGCGGUAGUUACCAAUCAGUCCGGUGUUGUUCAUCUGGUUCUUCUAUUUGUAAAACUUCAAAUUUAUAAAAUUUAAUGUGUAUGGUAUUUAUAAAUAUGUAACAUUUAAAGAAUUUCAUGAGAUUGUGAUUUAUGAAUGAGACUGAAGCUGUAAUCAUUCUAUGAAAUCGAGAGGAAAGGGCUCACCAAAAGAGUUUGAUGUGAAGAUGCUCAGGCUACAAUGCUAGUUUUAAAGCCGCGGCGAAUCUAGCAGCACUAUAGUGAGCCUAAUGAUGUGGCCUAAACUAUUUAAUCUUCUGAAGUAGAUAAGUCAAAGGCGUGUUCACAAAGUCCAUCUCAUCAUAUUCCACAUCAAACAAAGGGCACAGAAAUCGCCAUACUGUCGCUAAUUCAAUAAGUUCUUUUAUAUCCUGCCAGGAUGUUGAAUCUAAUAAUUUGAUGGUCUUGAGACAGCAAUGAUCUAAAUAACAAGAAGUAUAUUCGCAAAGAUGAUCUCAUAAUAGUCUCCAUGAGGAUAAGAUUCUCUCCAGGGGCACAAAGAUACCACACUACUGUUGUUCUUAUUGUCGACAUUUUAAUUCUUCAUCAAAUUGAACAAUCAUUCAUGUUUUCCAUACAUAAUACAUUUAAUAUCCAAACGAAUAACAUAUUCAUGAAUGAAAAUUCAAACUUACCCACAGCAAGUAUAACAACAAUCCUCUUAAAUGUCAGUGUAAGAUCUCUAGUUGGAUAAAGAGUCUACUCUGAUUGAGUUUGAAAGUUCCCUAGUUGUAUCAAGCAACAAAAUGAUUCUGUUCUACCGUUUCUGUCACUUGGAUAACAGAUAACUAGUAGUGUUUUUUUCUUUCACCCUAUAAGCAAAUGAAGGUAUAUAACGGCCAUAAGAUCUGAUUCUAAUGCACAGCAGUUCCUAACUUUUUGACUAUUUAUCGCGGGAGCUCUUUGAUUUAAGUUAGGGAUAGUGAAAUCAAAACUAACGAAAGAUUACUUAGCAAAAUCAAAACUAUCAAAAUUCAGUUAUCCCUUCUGAGUAUCGGUAUUCUUUUAUUUGCUAAUUUUUGCUUUGCAGUCUUUUCUUUAUCAUAUUUUCAUCUGCAGAGCAUAUGGUUAACAUAGCUUACAUUACAGCAAGUAAAAUAAAAUUAGAAAAUUUGAAACCUUCUGCUCUUAUAACAUCUAAAACAACCAACUACUCUAAAAUGUUAAAGUACGAGAGCAUGUAUUAAUAUUUUAUAUUCAAUACUUGUUAGAUAUAACUAUCAAUUACUACUAAUUGGUGCAUUGUGUGGAUUAAGGACUAAUAUAAAAGUGCAAUUUAAUGAAUACCUCAAUACAUUACUAAUUUUAUAAGGUUGGACUUUUCAGAUGUUUAGCUGGCUAAGUCAAAUUUUAAAUAGAAAGUACAAGUUAAUGAAUUACCUCAAUACAAUACUUCUUUCUUUCUUCUUCAAGAUCGCCAUGAAAGAAAAGCUAUCUAGACAUCCAUAUGGUGAAUCAAAAGCUUAUGAAUGGAUGUUAAUGCUAGGACUCGGAUAGUAGCUAUGAGAGCAAUAGGCGCAUAUGUGUCGAAGUAGUCAACAUCAGCUUUUUGUUGAAAAUCUUGAGCAACAAGUUGCGCCUCAUACUUUUCUACUGAUCUGUCAGCCCUAAGUUUCUUUUUAUAGAUCCACUAACAUCCUAAGGGUUGGUUUCCAUAAGGCAAAUCAGUGAGGAUCCAAGUGUUAUUGCUAAUAAUCGACUUGAUUUCACUGUUUAUAACAUCUUUCCAAAAAGAAGCUUAAGGAGAACUUAUAGCUUUCAUAUAUAAUAAAGGUGUACUUUCAACUAAGAAAGUAAAAAAACCUUUACCAAAGUCCUUCUCGAAAUAAGUUCUCUUGCUUCUCCUUAAUUCAGUUGGUGGGCUAGGUUCAAUAGGAUCUAUACUAUGAGGUAUAUCAGAUGCAGGUAUAUGAUCAGAAGAAGAAACAUGUUCAAAAGUAGGUUAAUAAUCAGGGGUUGAUCUAGAGAUGCGAUUUUUGAAAGGAAAGAUGUUUUCAUAGAAGGUUGUUCUUUAGAUUCAAUCAAAGUAUUGUUGAAAAUUUCAAAAAUCUCAGAGUUGGUCACUAGAAAUCUAUAUAUAUUGCUACCUAAGGAAUAUCCAAUGAAAAUGGCAUCUAUAAUUUUAGGUCCAAUCUUCUUUCUUGUGGGUUCAGGAAUAGGUACCUUAGCUAAGCACUCUCACAUUCAGAAAUAACUUAACCUAGACGCUCUUUCCUUCCAAUGUUAAUAAGGAGUUUGGGUUCUAUCCUUAAAGGAAAUCCUAUUAAGGAUAUAACAAGCUGAUAAAAGAGCCUCCCCCCCACAAGUUCUGAGGUACACCAGAACUUAAAAUCAUGGCAUUGACCAUAUUCGAUUCUUUCUUCCAUCUACACCAUUUGACUGUGGUGAGUAUGGAGCAGUAACUUCAUGAAUUAUUCUAUGUUCCUCACAAAACAGAUUUAAUUCAUUUAAAGUAUACUCGCCUCCUCUAUCUAACAUUAUAAUUUUAAUUCUCUUCUCUAAUUGAUUUUCAGCCUCUGCUUUAAAGACUUCAAAUUUAUUGAGGAUUUCAUCAUUGGUCUUCAAGAGAUAGGUGUAACAGUAUUUAAAGUAGUCAUCUAUAAAUGUCACAAAGUAAUGAAAAUUCCUCCAUGGGUAAGUCCUUUAUUAGAAUCUCAGACAUCACUAUAAAUCAGUUCAAGAAUCUUGGUAUCCCUAUAAGGAAGAGAUUUAAAAGGUUUCCCAGACUACUUAGCUUGAGUACAAAUCUCAUAUUUGGAUUUGAGAUCAAUCUUGAGUUUGGAUACAAAGUUAAGAUUGAUCAAUUUUAGUAUAAAUUUAAGGUUCGCAUGCCCUAAUCUACCAAGCCAUACAUCACAAGAUUCAAUAUUUAAAAUAUUAGUAGAAGUAGGAGCAAAAGAAGAAUUUUUAUUAUCAACAAAAGGAAUACAUUCAAUUUGAAUAAAUUUUCAGAUAUAGAACCUUUUCUAAUAAACAUUUUUACCUUAGAAAUUACAACUUUAUUGGAUUCUAAUGCAAUCUUAUAUCCUAAUUGAACUAAUAAAGAUCCACUAAUCAGGUUCCAUCGGAUCUCGAGAGAAUGCUGCACAUUAUGAAGGAUCAAACUCUUUCCAGAAGUUAACUUCAGCUUGAUUGAUCCGAUCCUCAACAUAUUGACAGCUUUUCCAUCUCCAACGGUCACACAUCCUCUACUUGUGCCCUGAUAAGACGAGAAUAAGAACCAAUUAGUACAAACAUAGACAUUAGUUCCUGAGUGUAACUACCAGUUUAAAUCAUGAUAGGUAAUGUUAACAUUGGGUACAAAAGAGACUGACCUAAAAGUAGAGGAAGAAAAUUCGCCCUCAAUCAUGUUGACCUGAGGCUUAGGAUAGUUAUUGCUAUUGUUUUGGCCCUGCUUGUAGACAGCCUUAUCUUUCUUUCAAUAAAAGCAUUUUAAAGCAAAAUGGUUGUCCUGGCCACAUACAUAACAGAAACUACCCUUUUUUUUGUUCGAUCCCACUAGAUUGGUUGGUAUUGGGUUUCUCGUAAUGGUUUCGGUUUCGGUUCGGGUUCCUACCCUUAAAGCCUUUACCCUUAAAUUUGAAAUUUUUAUGGAUUUAGGCUCAUGGCUCUAGUUCUGAAUCUCGGUUAGGUUUAUAUUUGAUCGAUUGUUGGAUAGUUUAAUCUCCUUAAGUCGGUAUUAGUCUUCUAUUCUAUAGCUUGGAUUACCGACCUAAGUUUAAGUUCUCUGGGUUCGUCUAAGCUCUUGGGCAAAUUUGGUUUAGGAAAGGAGUAAUUUGUCUAGUAGACAAGUAGCCAGAUAGGUUUCAUCUAAGGUUGAACCAUUCUUAUGAAUCUUUUGGACAAACUUCUGAAAUUGGUGGAUUUGAUCAUUUAUAAAAAUGUUGUCUACCAUUCUAAAAUUGUUAAAUUUAGUAAUGGUAAACCUAGCAAUGCCUUUAUUAUCACUAAUGUAGGUAUCUUCUAGGGCAUACCAUAAAUAUUUGGCAGUUUAAUAUUUUCUAUAAGUUUCACAAAGUUUGUUAGAUAGACAACUAAGUAUUCUAAACCUAUAGUGAAAUUCAAUUUCCUUGGGGGAUUUAUUAGAUUUAGGUUCUAUAGCUGAGGUAGUAGCAAAUUUAAAAGAAUUAGAUAGAGGAGUUAGCGGAGGAGGACCAAAAAAAAUUUUAGAAGUAGGAAAAGGAUGUGUUUUUUCAAUUACAGUUAUGAGGCCUAAGGUAAUAAGCCAAGCCUCUAACUGUUUUCGCCACCUCAAAAAGCCUACCCUUUUAAAUUUUUUUGGCUUAAGGCAAGAAGAAUCAUCAAAUGCCAUUCUAAAUAACCAAGUUGAGGGAAUAAAGAAACUAAGGAUAAUUAGAAUGAGCUACAAAAAAGGUUCAAAAAAUCUUUUAAGAAAAACAAUCAUAUUACCGACCGUCCCUAGAGCAAGUGGCAAAGGGCUUGGUGGUUGGUACCCGAGACCAAAGUUCGAAUCCUAGUUGAUUCACAUUUCUAGCUAAGUUUAUUUCUAAAUGAAAUAAACGAAGCGGGUAGCGUGCUACCUAUCUCUCUCUCAAAAAAAAAAAGAAAAAAGAAGAAAAACAAUCAUAUUUGUUAAGAUUUCUUGUAGUGUACUAAGUUCCGGUAAACUAUACUGAAGUUUGGCCAAAUUGCGCAAAGAACAGUUGAGAGAUGAUUUAGACAUGCUUGGAAACAAAUUUCGAGAGUUUUGGAACGAUUAGAAUUGAACUAGAGCUCUAAAGAGCGAAAAUAAAAAUUUUGAAAAAUGUGUUUUUGGACUUCUGGACUCUCGGGUCCGGAUCUUGACUUGAGGAUCCGGAUCUUGAUAUAGGCCAGAGUAUCAAAGUCUGAACCAUGACAAGAGGGUCCGGACCUUGCCUACGCAAAAUAGAAAACUAGUUAUGGGGUACAAACCUUGGCUCCAGGAUUUGGACUCUUCGCUUGCAGACAACCCAGAUCGGGGACAUUUCUGUAAUUUUGGUAAAAAGGGGGCUCAACCCCACACCUCCGUCCUCUCUCUCACUUUCUUCUUUUCUUUCUUGAAAUCUCCUCAAAACUUGGAGAUUUGGAGAGAUUGAUCUUAGAAAGGACUUGGAUGUCUGGAGCAAGCUUCUUGGAGUAAGAAGAUGCUUGGAAAAUUUGAGAUUGAGAUGAGUUCUUGGUGUUUUGAGUUAGGGUUUUGGGUUUGAUUCUUUGUUUAGAGAUUUUAGCAAUCUCUAACUAAAUCUAGACCGCACCAAAUGGUAGAGAUUUGCCAUGAGAUUUGGAGCUUUGCCAUUGUUUUGAAAAACCUUGGUUUAAAAUAGGGCUUUUGUUUUGAAUGAGUCAAAAAAUUAUUUGACUCUUUAAAACCCUAAUUAGAUGGUAGGAAAUCAUGUGGGAUAAUUUGAUUUCUUGAAAUAAAACUAUUUGAGAGUUCAAAAAUGGUAACGAACCAUUUUUCUUGUAUUAGGGUAAGGAAGCUUGGCAUAAGCUUGUAGCCCAGGGAAUUGGCCUAAUUGCAAGUACCUACAAGCAAUUAGGAGCAUUUUGAGGUGGGUUGUGCUUGACUAUAGGUUGUGCUUGACUAAAGAGAUUAGAUCACUUCCAUGUCUAAGUGAAAAAUAACUAUAUUAAGUUAUUUGUGGAAUGGAUACAUGAAUAUUGACAUAAGUAGUGGAAUGCAAACGUUAUGCACGUGGUUGCAUGUAGUGCACAUGAAUCAAGGGCAUCAUAUCUCAUGGAUUAAUGGAUGCAUGUAUGGUAUUCUUGCAUAUUAUGUUAUGACUCGUGAAUGAAUGCUUACAUGAUUAGUGGAAUGCAUAUGUUAUGGAUUAAAUGGUAGGUUGUGUGCACCGAAGUGACUUGGUCAUCUCACAUGUCUAGAGAGUAAUAGUGAAAACAAGUUAAUUUUUAUUGCAUGGUAAUUUGAAUGUUAGAUAUGCAUGUUAGAGGCACAUGCUACUUGGAUGAUUUUAGUUUACUACCUAUGUAUGAGUAAAUGUGCAUACAUCUAAUGUAUUAAAUUUAGAGUUACUAAUUUGCAUAAGAUAAAUGGAUGCAUGCAUCGUUAUUUUGUAUACCUAUGUUGUAGACUGAAUGAUAGGGUGACUUUCUUGAGGGUCAUUAGAUAACUCAAUACUUAAAUGUAGAAAACAUAGUGUCAUUGGAAUAUAAGUUGGAAACAUAGUGGGUAGAAUACCACUUGGACAUGAUGGCUUGAACCUAAAAAGGUUGACAAUAUAGAGUAAAGACAAUGGACCUUUGUGACCAUAGAAGAAGGAAUUUCGAAACUCCUAGCAACCUAUGGCCGGGAGUGCACAAAUUGCCACAUAAUGCCAAAGGAGUGACUCAAUACCUAUGAGCUUAUGGUCAGGGGUGUGUAGAAAUCCACCUAAUGCCAAGGUGAGAGGUGAGAUGAGUGAACUCGCUUAAAUUUGUAAUAGAAAUAGUUUACUUUAUAUCUUGUGAUACUCUCCUUAUACAACGUAUGUAUUCAUUUCUUGCUUGGAAUAUAUGGUGUAUACAUGCUUGUGACACCUUGGACGGAUAGGAAAAACUCUGUCCAUUCGGCGGGUCUAGUGCACGAGCCCUCUGUGUGGUUUUGUUGUGGUCUUGGGGCGUGACAUUUCUACCCUAGUCAGCCAAAAUAGUUUUGGAUUUAAUUUUUUAAAAUUAAUAUCUUAUCACUGCUCAUUUAGCAGCAAACGGAUGGCUCAAACAAUUUAAAAGUUUGAUUUCUAUUAGAUAUUUUUGAGUAAAUAAUAUAUGCAACUAAACAAUAUCUAUAUAGCAAACAGAGUAUAAACUGAAACAAUAAGAAAAGCAUAAAUUAAAAGUGGUGUUGUCGGUUACAAGAUGCUUGUUUGAAGUGCUGGAUUAUGUAAAGUCAUGUUCCCAGUCGAUAUGCAGAGAGUUUGUUUCUAAUUUGAUCUAAUCUUGUUCCAAAAGAUUAGGGAUAGUCCAGAAUCACUUUAAAGAGGAUUCUUAAGAGGAUAUCAACUGCUAGAUGUGAAUCAGACUCAGAUGGAAGGUGGAGAUUGUUUCCUACUAGAAUUGGGAUUUUAGAGUUAUAUAAACCCUUGCAAUUAAUCUUUUAGAUAUAAGCUUCAUUGUAGACACUCUAAUUGAGAGGAAAAUGUGGAGAGCUUCUGAGAGAGAGUUUCUUGUAAUCCAAUUUACUCCUUUAUACUUUUGUGCCGUGGAUUAAUCAAAGAAAGCAUUGAGGUGGUCUUGCCCGUGGAUGUAGGUCGACUCAUGAUUGGUCGAACCGCGUAAAUCUUGUGUUCUUGUGAUCUCUUAUUUUCUUUAUUGCUUUGUUAUCCUUAUGCUUAUUUUUCCUACGAUCAUUUUCAUCUCUUACGUCUACGAAAAAUCCUGUUUUCGGUGUGCUCGUGUGCUGUGCAGGUUUGAGGUGUGUUCGGUAACUCCACGGCCGGUCCCUUCAUGAAGGGUGUGUCGUUAGCAACUGUGUGUUCCAAUCCUACCUAAAGAAAAUUUUUUUAACUGUAAUAAAAUAGUAAAAAUUUACUGUAGCAAUUUUUCUUGUAGAAAAACGGUAAUUUUAUGAGCUACAGUAAAAUCAAUUUUUUUGGAGGAAAGUUUCAAAUACCACCCCUGUGGUUUCACACUUUCUCACUUUAGUAUCCUGUGGUUUAAAGUGUAUCAAUUUAGUGCCCUGUCACUACAGGAAAAAUCGCUGGUAGAGGCGGUUGUCAAGAGGCGGUUGUUAUAACCGCUUCUAUGUUUUACAUUAGAGACAUAUUAGAGGCGGUUUAACACAACCGCCUCUAUAUCUUGAAAAAAAAAAAAACUAAAAUUUUCAUUUUUUUUCAUUUUAUUAUUGAUUCUACUAAUUUUUUUCGUUAAAUCAGUGACAAAGUUAAAACUAAAGUGUACUAAAAUGAAUAUUCGAUCGAUAAAUUUAGCUAGGGUAUCUGAAGUUUUUUGUAUAUAAUUUAACAAAAUAUUAACGAAAAAGCUGAAGAAAAGAUAAAAAUGAAACCAUAGGACACUAAUUUGAUACACUUUAAACCACGAGGUACUAAAGUGAGAAUGUGUGAAACCAUAGGGGUGGUAUUUGAAGUUUACCCUUUUAUUUAAUUGCAAGAAAAGAGUAAUGUUUAACAAUAAUGUUUAAAGAAAUCAAAGCCCUUUUUUUUACUCACCAAAAUAAAAUAGUAAAUUUCAACAACUAGAAUAGACAAUAAAUUAGAUAAUAAUAUACAACUACACGUUCAAGUGCUAAUCCCGAAAAAUUUAUAUUUGAAUGCCAAUCAUACAAACAAGUUAACAAACAAAUUAUAUGCAUGACAAAAUUAAUUUAAUAUAGAUUAGCACUUGUUAAAUUGUGAAUCAAAACCAGAUAGGAUUACGCCUUAAAUUGUUAGAAAAAUCGUAUUGAAAAUUCGAUUGUGAUUAAUUAUCUAACUAAUUUUGUGAUAAAAUUAAUAAAUGAACUUACAAGCGAGCACUAAGUUCCCAAAAAAAUUGCCAAAGAAGGAAGCCGGAAAUAAUUGAGUCGGAAGCGUGUGUUGCACUGCCCUAAGAUGUAUUCUUGUCCUUUGUGCGGGAUCAACUGGAAACACCGCCCCAAGAUAUGACUGAAAUUCCUUCUACGAGCACGGACGUAGAAGAAGUUGACGCAGUAGCUUCCAACACCCAGCAACAAAGAGAUCGAAAUAAAAUGAAAAUUGAAGAUGAAAUAGAUCUUAAGCAAACUUUCUUUUCAAUAUAAUAAUUUUUCUCUCUACAAUGUUCAUUACCUAUGAACAGUAAAAAUCGAGUAUAAAUAGAGGUGAGAACUGUCACGCCCCGGGACCGAUACCAAUUUGGGUCGGCCGACCACGUCAAACAGACGCCGAACGGACAGAGUUUCCCUUGUUCGCCCAAGGCUCAUCACCUGUACAUUUUCAAGUAGAGAAAAGUACUAGUGGAAACAUACACAAAUGGCUUACACGAGGGUAAGCAAUAACCAUGAGUGAAAGAAAAGAAACUAAACAUCUACACAAGUACUAUGAUUCUUUUUUGAUCACAUACAUUGCAUUCAUAGUUCUUUACAUACUUUUCAUCAUUUCUUUUUACAUCACAUUCUCCUCAAGAUAAACAUUACAUUCUUUUUCUUUUACAUCUCAAUUCAUCAAAUACAAAAGAUGAAGUAAGGGAAUGCUACUACAAAAUGUAAACCCAACUCUGGUGGCUUCUGACUAAGGUGCGAUACCUUUACCGCGGUCGCUCGCCGGCUCGCUCGGUCCCGGCUCUGUGGAAUAGUGGGGUAAGAACUACAACAAAGUUCCCAGUGGGUUCGGCCCCAAUCUCACCGACUUUCCCGCUAGGACUAACUCAGGCAUAAUAGAAAGAAAAAGCAAAAUAGUAACCAAACUAUAAUCAUGAUGCUAAUAUGCCUGAACAAUAAGGCAAGAAAUAUGCUCAACGUAAAUCAUGCAAGUAUGCAAGUUCUUUGUUCUUUAAACUUUGUUCUUUGUUCUUUAAUCUCACGGCUAACCCGAGGGUUUCGCCACAUUAACUUGCCUACAUUAAGUCCAUUAUCGCGGGCCCUCAGCUUCCUCCCGCUAAGACCGUCCUCGGGUUUACUCCAACCCGUAAUGCAAAACUCUGGAGCGCAUCGCUCGAGGGGGAGCGACCGCCCUCGAGCACGGAACUCAUAGCAAGUAUGAUCGAUCCUUAACUCUAAGGAUAUAUGGUUCAAUCAUUGUCUUUACACUAACUCUAGUAUUCUUUACAUCAUUUUAUUUUGCUAACUCUAGCAAUCAUUGUUCUUUAACUUCACUCAUUCUUUAUGCCACUUUCUUUUUCUUUACUUGUCUCUAAUCAUUAUCAUUGUUCUUUGCGUCACAUUUCUCUUUGAUGCCACACACACUAACUCUAGUGUCAAUUUACUUUACAUUAUCGAAUGCCACUCGAUUUAUGUUUUAUUGUGUCACUUUGUUCUUUCAUCUCAUUGGGUGCUCACAUUAUAUCUCAUGCAUACAUAUAGGGUUGAAUAGGUUCUCAAACAUUUCAAAUAGCACGUGUACUCACAUCAUGCAACACUCACAUUUAUAACAUCACAUCUACCCUAUAAUGCAUGCAACAAUAUAAACAUAUGCUCAAUUGAAUGACACAUUAGGCAUAGAGGAAAUUCCAACAAGUUUGGAUAGCACCACCCACCUCGUAGGCGUACUAGGAUGCUACAAUGAUUUUCUUGUAAUUUUUAGACUCCUAGUUCAUCACCUGCGGCAAAAUGAAGCCAUAUUAGGCCAUUUUGCUCAUAUCUUUACAUAGGCUUUUCGUAACGUCAAUCCAAGCGCACCAACGCGUCGGAAAUACCCCCAAUUAGGUUUCUAGAGGGUCAAUUUCACUUUGAAGUCCUUCCGAGCAAAAGCCCCAAUUUGGGUGCCCUAGCUCCAACACAUACACAAAAUCUAGGAUUUGAUCUCAUUAGGAAACAAAAGAGAGUUUAAUCUACUCAAGAGAUCCCAUUAAAAUCCUUUUUAGCUCAAUCAAAAUCCUAGUUUGGAUUCUACCAUGAGAGAGGUUGAAGCUCACCUCACAAUUUCACUACAUAUACCCAAUCCAUGGCUGUGAUCUCAACAAGAAGCAAAAGAUAGCUCCAAAUACUCAAAAGGUUCUUUUAAAACCAUUUCUAGGUCAUUUGGUUCUCAUUCUAGGAUUUUACCAUGAAUAGGGUUCAAGCUUACCUCAAAGCUCUCCUUUCUUUGUGUUAGAGGUGAAGGAGAGGGAGUUACUUCACUCCUUCUUCUUCUUCUCGACCUUCCUUCUCUUUUCUUCUUCUUCUUUUCCUUUCUUUCCUUUCUUUUCUUCUUCUCCUUCUUGUCUUCUAAAGAGAGAAAGAGAGGAGAGAGUGUGUGAGAGGGAGAGAAUGAGAGAUAGGGCCCUCAUAACCCCUCAACAUAACCCAUGGGUUGCAAAAAUGCAGAUAGGCCCCUCAACUUUCACUCUAUUCACACUACCCAGACUGGGCAUUUUCGGGCUGGGGGGACCGGUCUCUCCUUCAGGGACCGGUUCCCAUAGCCCCUCCCCGUGGUCAGCAGGGCUCCCGCGCGCAAUGCGACCGGUCUCUCGAGGACCGGUCUCUCUAGCAGGGACCGGUUCCCGUGAACCUGAUCUUUGGGACUUAGCCGAUUUUCCCCUUUUCUCAUCUUUCAUGCGUACGGGGACCGAUCUCUCCUUCAGGGACCGAUUUCCGAGAGCACAAAACCUGCAGAAUGCAGAUUUUUGAUUCUUUAGCUCUCGAAAACCUCCCACAAUGCACUUUUGAUCCUUUUAACACCUUCGGACUUUUCGAAGUGUACCAUCCUCGCACUUUGGUCAAUUUGACUAAAGUUCGUUAUUUAUUUUUCGAAUUCUCGGUAUAUUACAUUCUCCACCCCUUAAAAUAAUUUCGUUCGCGAAAUUACACAUACCUUAACUUGUCAACUCAAAUAAAUGCGGAUAGUCUCUCCGCAUGGUCUCCUCAAGCUCCCAAGUGGCUUCUCGUGCUGCAUGGUUGCUCCAUUGGACCUUCACAUAUGAAAUUUUGCGACUCCGCAACUUCCUUUCUUCUCUUUCGAGGAUGCACACCGGGUACUCCUCAUAAGACAUAUACUCACGUAACUCCACGGGCUCCUACUCCAAUACAUAUGUCGAGUUUCGAAUAUACUUUCAGAGAUUUGACACAUGGAAAAUAUUGUGAACUCCAGCGAGUCUCGGUGGUAGUGCGAGCUUGUACGCUAUCGCACCCACACGCUCCAAUAUCUCGAAUGGUCCGACAUAACGGGGGCUUAGCUUCCCGCGGACCCCAAAUCGCUUUACUCCACGCAUCGGCGACACUCUCAAAAAUACGCGGUCUCCAACUGCGAACUCUAAGUCCUUUCUUCGCUUGUCGACAUAACUCUUCUGCCUUGACUGCGCUGUUGCUAACCGUUGACGGGCAAGGCAGACUUUUUCCUCCGCCUCCCGCACUACAUCCGGGCCAAGAGCCGUUCUCUCGCCCACGUCGCUCCAAUGAAUAGGAGAACGACACUUUCGACCAUAUAGUGCCUCAAAUGGCGCCAUCGCUAUGCUAUCUUGAUAACUGUUAUUAUAUGCAAAUUCCGCCAUCGGCAGAAAAUCAUGCCAUCCUCCUUUAUAAUCUAGUACACACACUCAAAGUAAAUCCUCAAGGAUCUGUAUUGUCCGCUCUGACUGUCCAUCACUCUGAGGAUAAAACGCUGUGCUAAAGUCGAGCCGUGUGCCUAGCGCGUCUUGCAAGCUCUUCCAAAAGUGGGAUGUGAAUCUGGGGUCUCGAUCCGAUACAAUUGAUACCCGAACCCCAUGAAGUCUCACAACCUCGUUGAGAUAAACUUGAGCUAACUUGUCUCCCGACCACGUAGUAUGUAUCGGCAAGAAGUGUGCCGACUUUGUUAAUUGAUCCACUAUCGCCCAUAUCACGUCUUGUCCGUCUUGUGAUCGAGGCAAACCGGUAAUAAAGUCCAUCGCUAUAUCUUCCCAUUUCCAAACAGGUAUUGAUAGAUUUUGUAGCUUUCCCGCCGAAAAUCGGCGCUCUGCUUUCACCUGUUGGCACGUUAGACAUUGUGCCACGAACUCCCCAAUGUCUCUUUUCAUAUUCGGCCACCAAUAAUGCUCUUUCAAGCCCUUGUACAUUUUAGUACCGCCCGGGUGUAUACUAUAAGGAGAUUGGUGCGCUUCUUGCAUGAUCGCUCUUCGAAUAUCACUAUCUUUGGGCACGCACCAACGAUUUUGAAAUCGGAGUGCGCCAUCGGCUCCAAUGCCAAAAUCCUCGGCACUACCGUUCUCAACUUCACCUCGUAUCUUCUGAAGAUAAGGAUCCAAAGCUUGAAGUUCUUUGAUCCUUUCCAAUAGGGUCGGUUGCACAACUAAUACGGCAAGUGUAGCCAGCACUCCCGGCGCUACCACUUUCAACCUAAGCCUUUGCAUCUCCUUUUGCAAUAGCGGUUGAGGCGUAAUUGCCAUCGCUAAGUUCUCCGCCGAUUUUCUUAGAGCAUCGGCCAUGACAUUGGCUUUUCCCGGGUGGUAUAGUAUAGUGACAUCGUAGUCCUUCAAAACUCCAACAACCGCCGCUGCCGUAUGUUCAACUCCUUCUGGGUGAACAAGUAUUUUAGACUUUUAUGAUCUGUGUAGACUUUACAAUACUCACCAUAUAAGUAAUGCCUCCAAAGCUUUAGCGCGAAGAUCACCGCGGCUAACUCGAGGUCAUGAAUCGGUUAGUUCUUCUCAUAACUCUUUAAUUAGCACGAUGCAUAUGCAAUGACCCGCCAAUUUUGCAUUAAUACACACCCGAGACCAACAUACGAGGCAUCACUAUACGCUACAAAGGUCUCCCCCGGAGUCGGGAAGGCAAGCACCGGGGUCGACGUCAACCUGCUCUUUAACUCCUCAAAGCUCCGAUCACAAUCGUCACUCGAGACAUACUUUACUCUUUUAUGGGUAAGGCGCGUUAGCGAAGUGGUUAUUUUAGCGAACCCCUCCACAAACCGCCGGUAAUAGCCCGCAAGUCCGAGAAAACUGCGGACCUCCGCUACACUUGUCGGGCGAGGCCAAUCCUUGAUCGCCUCCACCUUCUUCGGGUCUACCGACACUCCGUCGCCCGAUACCACAUGAACUAAGAAUGUGACCUCCUUUAGCCAAAAAUCACACUUCUUCAACUUUGUAUAGAGCUUCUCUUGUCUGAGUAUUUGCAACACAGCUCUCAAGUGCUCUUCGUGCUCCUCCUCACUCUUUGAGUAAACCAAUACGUCGUCUAUAAAUACCACGACGCAUCGAUCCAACAACGGCCUAAAGACUCGGUUCAUCAAGUCCAUGAAUGCUGCUAGGGCAUUAGUAAGCCCAAACGGCAUUACCGUGAACUCAUAAUGGCCAUACCGUGUACGGUACGCCAUUUUGUGCACAUCCUUCGGCCUAAUCUUUAGUUGAUGAUACCCCGAUUGGAGAUCAAUCUUCGAAUACACUUUGGGCCCUUGCAACUGAUCGAAUAAAUCGUAAAUCCUCGGCAACGGGUACUUGUUCUUUAUCGUCACUUUGGUGAACUCGCGAUAAUCUAUGCAGAGUCGAAGUGUACCAUCCUUUUUCUUCACAAAUAGCACCGGAGCUUCCCACGGUGACACGCUCGGCCUCACGAAGCCUUUAUCGAGCAAGUCUUGUAAUUGGCCUUUCAACUCCUUUAGCUCCACCGAUGCCAUUCUAUACGGAGCCUUCGAAACUGGUUCCGCCCGGGGAAUCAAGUCAAUGACGAACUUGACCUCCCGGUCCGGUGGCAGUCCCGGUAACUCCGCCGGAAAUACAUCCGGGUACUCGCACACUAUCCGAAUAUCCCCCAACUCUGGGUACUCCUUUCGAGCAUCGACCAUGGUUGCCAAAUAGGCCUUACACCCUCAUUUGAUAUCUUCUUCGCCCUUACAGACGAUAUGGUCGCCGUAAAGCGCCUACUUUUGCACGCUUGGUAUACCAGUUCUUCUUGAUUAGGCUCACGAAAAGUGAUCACCUUGCUUUCACAAUCUAUAACCGCAUAGUACUUGGAGAGCCAGUUGGUCCCCAAGAUAACAUCGAAUCCCCACAUCUGAUCUAGCACUAGCAGAUUAAUCGGCAUAAUCCAAUCGCCUAUUUGCACUGGACACGCCAAACACUCAUUGUGGACACUGAAUGAAUGUUCUGGGGCGUUCACCCACCAGUAGUCCUCGUUAUAUGCCAUUUUUAUGCCAUGAGUUUGAGCAAAUGAUGGGUUAAUGAAUGAAUGAGAUGCGCCUGUAUCAAAUACUGCUCUAUCUCUAGUGCCUUUAAUCACAAUUAUACCUGCCACGACGUCGUCGGGUGCUGCAGGUUGCUGCUCCUCCACCUGAGCGGCAAAGACUGGGCCGCUAGGCGCUCUCGAUCCCUCCGGCUAACGCGGUGAUGACGUGCGCCCAGCCGACAUCGCUGGUGGUAACCCCGCAAGCUGUCUUGGGGUAGACGGUGCUGAUGCCGCCAUCGGCGCAGACGACGUCCAGCUCGGGCACUCCCGGAUAAGAUAUCCCGGUUGGUCACACUUGAAACACUUGCCAUUGCGCUGCGAGCAAGCCGACACUCGGUGCUCUCCGCCACAAAUGACGCACCGAGGUGGUCUCCAGUUCCUCGUCUGCUGUCGGGGAUACCGAGGGGGCUUCUUAGCAUUUGGCCGGCCCCCGGCACCACCCGUCGUCCGCUUCUUGCCUUUUUCCUUGCUCUCGGCCAUAGCCUCCCAUUCCUCUCAAACGUAAGCACUACCGUGCUCCGCCCACAAAGCUCUAUCGAAGACCUCCGCAAAGGUCGACAACUUCAAGAUCUGCACCUUCUCGUAAAUUCUCGACUGGAGUCCUCGCAAGAACCAAUCAGCCCUAUCCCGAUCAUCUCUAACAACAUCGGGAACGCAGUCGAUAAUGUAGGAGAAUUCCUGUUCGUACUCCCCCACUGAUCGAUCGCCCUGUCACAACUUGCAGAACUUUUCUUGCAACCUCCGCUUCACCGUGUCGGGGAAGUAGUUCGCGAAGACUGCUCUCUUGAACUCCUCCCAAAGCAUAAGCGGAAGAUCGGCAGGUCGAUCCCACUUGACUCGCUUCCACCAUACUAUCGCCGCCUUCUCAAGACAAUGGGUGGCGAGGUACACUUUGUCCUUCUCCGAGGUAUUUAGGUCUCCGAAGAGCGUUUCCAUCGAGUCGAUCCACGACUCCACGACCGCUGGCUCCACCAAACUACCUUCAAAGACAGGUGGGUUGAACUUCUUAAACUGUAUGAGAGCCGCCAACGUGCGCUCCCGCUCCGCUUCUACCGCCACACUAUCGAAAUUUGAGGUUCCCGAUCCGGCCGAUACUACCGUAAUUGGAACAGCUGCUGCUGCCGCCGCUCCCUCGUCCACGUUCGGCACUGCCACAGGGGGCGCGACAUGCUCGACACCCGCCUGGGACGCCGCCUGCUGAUGCUCCAAGGCCUCCUGGAGCCGUUGAAUCUGCUCCCCUUGGCGUUGAACAGACUCCGCUUGUUGCCGCACUACGCCGAUAAGUGCGGCCAUCUGCUCCCUAAGCUCUCCGUUGCCACUCGCUCCAGAUCGCUCGAGCGCCGCAUUCGACCCCUCAGGCAUCGACCUUGUCUGCGGUCGACCACGAGGUGACAUUGCUUCCUGAAAAGAAGCAACUCGCAUUAGCUACUUGACCAACAUUAGCUGACCAUACCCAAUCUGGCGAAAGCAACAUGCACAUUCAUCCUUGCCUGAAGCGUCAUGUCGUCGGCCGCCCGACACAACACUAGAAGUAGAGGACAAACAAAAAUUAAACUUAACCUCUAAUCACAUUAGAGACGUCCCAACGUAACCCAAUCACAUGCUUUCGCUAUCUUUAAUUCCACGUCACUCACGUUUCCUAAAUCCUUAAGGUCUUCCAAUCCUAAGGGUUUCUAGGUCCAUUCCUAUUCUUUCACUCUAGGCUCUGAUACCACAAUAUCUGUCACGCCCCGGGACCGAUACCAAUUUGGGCCGGCCCGAGCACGUCAAACAGACGCCGAACGAACAUAAUUUUUCCUGUCCGCCCAAGGCUCAUUACCUGUAUAUUUUCAAGUAGAGAAAAGCACUAGCGGAAACAUACACAAACGGCUUACACGAGGGUAAACAAUAGCCAUGAGUGAAAAAAAGAAAAAUAAACAUCUACACAAGUACUAUGAUUCUCUUUUGAUCACAUACAUUGCAUUCAUAGUUCUUUACAUACUUUUCAUCAUUUCUUUUUACAUCACAUUCUCCUCGAGAUAAACAUUACAUUAUUUUUCUUUUACAUCUCAGUUCAUCAAAUACAAAAGAUGAAGUAAGGGAAUGCUACUACAAAAUGUAAAUCCAACUCUGGUGGCCUCUGACUAAGGUGCGAUACCUUUACCGCGGUCGCUCGCCGGCUCGCUCGGCCCCGGCUUUGUGGAAUAGUGGGGUGAGAACUACAACAAAGUUUCCAGUUGGUUCGGCCCCAAUCUCACCGACUUUCCCACUAGCACUAACUCACGCAUAAUAGAAAGGAUAAGCAGAAUAGUAACCAAACUAUAAUCAUGAUGCUACUAUGCUUGAACAAUAAGGCAAGAAAUAUGCUCAACGUAUAUCAUGCAAGUAUGCAAGUUCUUUGUUCUUUACACUUUGUUCUUUAAGCUUUGUUUUUUGUUCUUUAAUCUCACGGCUAACCCGAGGGUUUCGCCACAUUAACUUGCCCACAUUAAGUCCAUCAUCGCGGGCCCUCAGCUUCCUCCCGCUAAGACCGUCCUCGGGUUUACUCCAACCCGUGAUGCAAAACUCCGGAGCCUAUCGCUCGAGGGCGAGCAACCGCCCUCGAGCACGAAACUCAUAGCAAGUAUGAUCGAUCCUUAACUCUAAGGAUAUAUGGUUCAACCAUUGUCUUUACACUAACUCUAGUGUUCUUUACAUCACUUUAUUUUGCUAACUCUAGCAAUCAUUGUUCUUUAACUUCACUCAUUCUUUAUGCCACUUUCUUUUUCUUUACUUGUCUCUAAUCAUUAUCAUUGUUCUUUGCGUCACAUUUCUCUUUGAUGCUACACACACUAACUCUAGUAUCACUUUACUUUACAUUAUCGAAUGCCACUCGAUCUAUGUUUUGUUGUGUCACUUUGUUCUUUCAUCUCAUUGGGUGCUCACAUUAUAUAUAUAGGAUUGAAUAGGUUCUCAAACAUUUCAAAUAGCACGUGUACUCACAUCAUGCAACACUCACAUUUAUAACAUCACAUCUACCCUAUAAUGCAUGCAACAAUAUAAAUAUAUGCUCAAUUGAAUGACACAUUAGGCAUAGAAGGAAUUCCAAUAAGUUUGGAUAGCACCACCUACCUCGUAGGCGUACUAGGAUGCUACAAUGAUUUUCUUGGAAUUUUUAGACUCCUAGUUCGUUACCUGCGGCAAAACGAAGCCCUAUUAAGCCAUUUUGCUUAUAUCUUUACAUAGGUUUUUCGUAACGUCAAUCCGAGCGCACCAACGCGUCGGAAAUAUUCCCAAUUAGGUUUCUAGAGGGUAAUUUCACUAUGAAAUCCUCCCGAGCAAAAACCCCAAUUUGGGUGCCCUAGCUCCAAUACAUACACAAAACCUAGGGUUUGAUCUCAUUAGGAAAUAAAAGAGAGUUUAAUCUACUCAAGAGAUUCCAUUAAAAUUCUUUUUAGCUCAAUCAAAAUCCUAGUUUGGAUUCUACCAUGAGAGAGGUUGAAGCUUACCUCACAAUUUCACUACAUAUAUCCAAUCCAUAGCUUUGAUCUCAACAAGAAGCAAAAGAUAGCUCCAAAUACUCAAAAGGUUCUAUUAAAACCAUUUCUAGAUUAUUUGGUUCUCAUUCUAGGAUUUUACCAUGAAUAGGGUUCAAGCUUACCUCAAAGUUCUCCUUUCUUUGUGCUAGAGGUGAAGGAGAGGGAGUUACUUCACUCCUUCUUCUUCUUCUCGACCUUCCUUCUCUUUUUCUUCUUCUUCUUUUCCUUUCUUUCCUUUCUUUUCUUCUUCUCCUUCUUGUCUUCUAGAGAGAGAAAGAGAGGAGAGAGUGUGUGAGAGGGAGAGAAUGAGAGAUAGGGCCCUCAUAACCCCUCAACAUAACCCAUGGGUUGCAAAAAUGCAGAUAGGCCCCUCAACUUUCACUGCAUUCACACUGCCCAGACUGGGCAUUUUCGGGCUGGGGGGACCGGUCUCUCCUUUAGGGACCGGUUCCCGUAGCCCCUCCCCGUGGUCAGCAGGGCUCCCGCGCACAAUGCGACUAGUCUCUCUUUGGGGAACCGGUCUCUCUAGCAGGGACCGGUUCCCGAGAGCCUGAUCUCUAGGACUUAGCCGAUUUCCCUCUUUUCUCAUCUUUCACGCGUACGGGGACCGGUCUCUCCUUCAGGGACUGGUCCCCGAGAGCACAAAAUCUGUAGAAUGCAGAUUUUUGAUUUUUUAGCUCUCGAAAACCUCCCACAAUGCACUUUUGAUCCUUUUAACACCUUCGAACUUUCCGAAGUGUACCAUCCUCGCACUUUGAUCAAUUUGACUAAAGUUCGUUAUUUAUUUUCCGAAUUCUCGAUAUAUUACAAGAACAGAACGUUGCAUGGAAUCAACCCAACGUUCCACUCCAAGCCCUAGUUAGUAAAUUCGCAAAUUAUUCGCGAAUUAUUGAAAAUCCGAAUUAAAUGGUCCGUUUACGAAUUUUUUCAAAAAAAAGAGAAUUAUUCACGAAUUUUUGGGUCAGCCGAAUUAUUCGCGAAUAAUUUGCGAAUUAUUCGCGAAUUAUUACCAAAUUAUUGAAAAUAUGAAUAGAAAACUUAUAAUUUUAUUUUAAAAUAUAAAUUAUUUUAUAUUUUAUAUCUUAUAUUUUAUAUUUUAUACCGAAUCUGUUUUUUAAGCCGAAUUUUUUAAUGAAUUUAAAAAUUAGAAAACAAAUUUUGUACGUAUUAUAUCGGUACCGAAUUUUUGCCAAAUCCGAAUUAACUAACUAUGCUCCAAGCCAAUAAAUACCGUACAUUCCAUCAAAUUAAUUAAAAUAAAAUAAUAAUAAAUACUAAUAAAUGAGAACAAAAGAAUUAAUAAAUUAAAAAUAAAAAAUAAUAUUAAUAAUUGGGAAAUUUUAGAUUUUUCACCAACAAUAACUAUCUUGAGAAUCCUAUUAUUAUGUAUGUUUCAACUAUUAGUUAUAUUCAAUUUAUCAAUUUUUACCUGAUCUCUUAAAGACUUACAAGGUAAAGUUUUAGCCUGCGCAUUGCCUCAUUGUCCCAUGGUGGUCACACCUUCAUCCUAGUGAUGUACCUUCCCCACAACAUCACAUUCGGUGCUCCAACAUGUUGAUGAAAAUUCAAAAUCCUACAUCUUAUUUCAAUUAUUAAUUACUCCUUUUUUAUUUUUAAUUUUCUACAUUUUAAUUAUAAUUUUAUUUAUUAUAUUUUUUUAAUCCUUUAGCCCGCUACAUGGGCGGACGUUACGCGCGUCCGCGCUCUGUGCGCACCUUAUUCUCGGCGGACGUUUUGUCAUUUGUUAGAAACUAAUUAAAGGAAAAGUGAACGUUGGAGUUAAUAGGAUAGUAGCAGGACUCUAUAUAUAUGUAUAUGUAUAUAUAUAUAUAUAUGUAUAUGUAUAUAUAUAUGUAUAUAUAUGUAUAUACGUCUAUUGUUGUCAGGACAUAUAGAUAUAUUUCAUUUGCAUGAAGAAUAGUGAAAAGAAAUAAUUUUAUUUUGAGAUUCCUUUUCAUAAGUUAAUUCUCUUCUGUUUAUCGCUGGGUGUUGAAAGAAGCUCCGUCAACCCCUUCCGCGUUCGUGUCUGUAGGAGGAGAAAUUUCGGUCGUGUCUUGGGGCGGUGUUUUCGGUUAAUCCCGUACGAAGGAAGGGAAUACGCCUUAGGGCAGUGCCUCGCACGCUUUCGGAGCUAAUUAAUUUUGCAUUUCCUUUUUUGGGAUUUAGCGAAUAUCUGUAAGUUGAUUUUAUUAAUUUCAUCACGAAAUUAGUUAGACUUUAUCACAAUCGGAUUAUUCGUUGCGGCACUUUCCCAACAAUCUACGGCGUAAUCCCCUAUCUGAUUGUGAUUAAAUCUGACGGUGCUAAUCCAUUAAAAUAUAUAUAUAGUGCAUAUAAUUCUGUUUGACAAUUUGCUUGUAUACUUGUCAUUCAAAUUUAAAUAAAUUGGGAUUAACAUUUUCAAAUUCUAAUUGCAUAUAGUUUAUUUGCAAAUUAUUACUUCUCAUAUUUGCUUUGGGGUGUUUUUAAAUUUUAAAAAAAAAGGGAUUUUACUGUUCUACUAUAGUUUUUUUUUUUUUAAAAAAAAUUGCUACAGUGAUUUUUUAAGACUAGUACGCAUAUUUUAAAAUAAAAAAUUUUGCUACAGUAAGUUUUUAAAAAAAGGUUGCUACAGUAUUUUCCUUUGCACAGUUCGGAUUUUUUAAAACUAAAUUUUGAGGAAAAAAAGGGGGUUUUGUUACAGUAAAAAAUAAAUUUUCAUGCGUACCGUUUUUUGAGUUUGCUAUAGUAAAACUUUUUUGAAAAAAAAAAGGAAAACAAAAAAAAAAAACCUAUUUCGAGUAGGAAUUGAACCCUUCCUUAACUGGUUAGCUCCACUUAUAAAUAGACCCAACACUCUCUCCUCAUGCGCACCAACUGAGAAUACCCCCCGUUUUCCUCUCUUCUCAUCUCCCUCUCCUUCUCUCUCUAGAAUCUCCCAACAAAGGUGGAUUUGGUAGGGAUUGAAGGUGGAUUUGGAGCUUUUGAAAGAAAGGAGCUCUAGUGCAAGGUGGAACUUGAGGUCUAGAGGUGACCAAGGUAAGGGUUUGCAAGUUCUAAUCUAGGGUUUGUUUUGGUUGACCUAGAAUCCAUGUUUUUAGAGUUCUUGAGGUUUAGAAAUCUAGAGUGAUCCAUAGUUUCUCAUGGUGAAAGAUGCUUGACCAUGACAUGUGGAACCCUAGGGUUGAGAUUAGGGUUUUUGUAGAUAUGGGGUUUAUAGUAAAAUUGAUUCCUUAAUUCCUUAGUUGAAGAAUAAAUCGACCCAUAGGGAGGCUCAAGACGAAGUUCCUAUGAGCCUAUGGCACAUCGUUGAGGAAAAACACCGUUUUCCAUUCGUUACUUGACAUUAGUUGAUACGGAUGGAUAGAUCCCCGAGUAUUGUUGUCCCUAGUUGGUAGGGUAUCCUCGGGUUUAGAGGAUUGGAUUGUACUCACAUUGUCUGUUUAGCGUGGCGGUGGUCGCUCCAACCAAACAGUGGGCUCCGGAGUUGUCACAUAAUGGGUUAACGUAUCUACCGAACAGACGGUCCCGGGUGAGCGCAGCUGGGUGUCUCCUCACAUGUGGGAUUGGUUGUGAGUUGGGUUUAACCUUCGGGUUAGCUGGUGUGAUUGGGUUACAAGCAUAUGAAUGACAUGCAUCAUGAGCAUCAUGGUUACUUUAUUCAUAUCCUGUUGUUGAGGCAUAGUAGUAUAUUAGUAUUUCUUAUUUUUGUAUAUCUCUCUACUUAUGUCUGUUUAGACCUAAUAGAAAAAUCGGCAGGGUCAGCGGCCGAACCCACUGGAAACUUCUUUUAGUUCUCACCCCAUUGUUGUACAGAUCCCAGAGCGGCCGAGGGUCGUGGCAAGGGCAUAGCGCCCUAGAUAGCGGACAUCCCAUGCAUUAGCAUACCUUGUACUUGUAUCAUGUAAGAGAGAUGUCACAUUUUGGAGAGACAAUGUAGUGAGGAUAUAAUGUAUGAACUAAAGAAUUGUAUUUUGGUGAAUUGUAAAAGAAUGGUUAAACAAGUGAAUGAAUGUAAUAGUUUAGUUAAAUUUCUCUCUUGCUCUUGUUAUUUUUCUCGCGCAAAUCAUGUAUAUUAUUUGUUUUUAUUUGGGCAAAACUAGAUGUACAUGAUGUUGUUGAAACUUUGGCGGUACAUGGGAGACUUUGUCCGUUCGGCAUUCUGUGCACGAGUCUGAACCGACUAAAUUGGCGGUUGCGGGGCAUGACAAUAAAUAUUAUCUAAUAAAUUCUAGCAUUUUCUCGAAUAUUGUCCCCAAACCUAAUGGUACUCCUCCGAAUCAAAUAGCAGUCCAAAGAAUUAGUGAAUCAUCACCACGGGCUCAACGAGCAAUUGGUAGGGUUUUAACGAAAGAUUCACUAAUUAGUGGUAACAUACCAAAUCCCAAACACUAGUAAGUUAAAUCUCUCUCUCUCUCUCUCUCUCUCACACAUGCACACACUAGGUGAGUAAUCAUGCAUAAUCCAACCCUACUCUAUAUGUGAAGUGUCCAAUGACGAUACAGUCCAACAUAGUAAUCAUAAAUCUUAUGAAGAGAAAAAUAAUAAUAAACCGGACAUGUAGAGUAACUAAGCAUGUAAGAGAGUAAGUGAUAAUAAUUUGAUUAGAGCUACUCUACCAAUCAUGUAUUAUCUAAUUAUAAGUUAUAACAAUAACAAAAGUUGAAUCAUAGAGCAAAUAACACGAACAAUAUAUAAGGAUACAUGCAUAAGCAUAUGUACUCAACAAAUAAGAUAUAUGAUCGAAGCAUAACAGAAAAUAACUAAGUAGAACAUAACUUUACUGACAUCCAGAUUGAAGCACCUAUCUUUGCUCGAAUAAACCUGAGUUCGUGACUCCACCAUAGCCUCUAGGUGUCACAGGAACCUAGGCAUAAUGAUCGAGUGUCAUUUUCAGCCUCUGUGUCCAUAACACUAAUUAACUAAUAAACCUAAACCUCAAUGAAGUGUAUUACGACAUACUCGGAAUAUCAGUUUCGCAAUAUGACUUUCGGAACUAAACCAACGAACGGGCCAACUCUACAAGAGUCGAAAUGGCCCUCGAACAUCAAGCUAACAACAACCAAUGCAACUUAAUCACCAACAACACUAGCAAGUGUGAUCGGAACAUCGCAUUCUUUAACCGAUUUUCAAACAUCUCCAAAUUUGUUCCCUAACCUAUCGAGACCUCCAAUCAGACCAUGAAGCGUUGCGAGCUAUGUUAUAGGUCUGCUUAGACCACUUGCUGUCUCGAGACACACCAUGUGACGACUCAACAUAUCAUCUACUAUCCCAAAAGAUACCACUUUAGGUGUCGUGACAGUCGCAUCCCAUAAAGUGCAAUAAUGAGAUCCACUGCCUCGAACUUGGCUGUAUCGAGUUCCAAAAUACUGUUUUUGGCUUCGGAACAAACCUACAAUAUGCAUGCUGGCAACACAGGUUGGGGAGGGUGUGGCGUCUAUGGGUGAGGAGAGAAAGAGAGGAGAAAGGAAAAAGGAGAAAUAAUCUUAGUUUUCUCUUUUUUUUAUUAUAACAAUUGCAGAAUUUUCUACGCCAUCUUAAUUUGCUUUCCUAUAUACUGCUUCUUAGCCACCUUCGCAUAGAAGUCCUUCGUGUUGAAAAUUUUUUACUUUUCACACAUGAAAUGAGGACCUUUUCGAACACUGCCCUUUUUCUCCUAUGUUGUAAUAAAUGCUAUUUGGCCCUUCUAAAUCUCAAUUUCUUGCUCAAAACCACCUCACUUGUGCAUUUUGUACACAAUGCCUCCAACUACAAAGUCUCAUACAAGAAAGUAUAGAUUUAGUGGCAUAUAUAGAUGCUGCUAAAUGAGUAAGAAAUGUAACUAAAUUUUUUAGCAACACUUAACUUUUAGUGUUGCCUAUGCCCGUGUUGUUGAAUCUUUUAGCAACAUAUGGAGAGAGUGUUGCUAAUGCUGAAGAAUUAACAAUAAUUAACAAAUGUUGCUAAAUGAAAAUUUUAAAAAGGCAAUUAUUAAAUGGUGGUGCAUAUUGUUUAAUUAAUUCUUGUAUUAAUUUAGCUAUUAUUUUUUGAAUUAAAUAAAUUUUUUUUAUUAAUUAUAAAUUUUGAUGUUCAUUAAAUUAAAAUAUUAUUAAUUUUGAUUAAUUUUUUUAAUUAUAGUUAAUAAUAAUCAAAUAUUACUAAAC
This 73061-nucleotide long non-coding RNA is filed under the name Ananas comosus (pineapple). RNAcentral describes it as "long non-coding RNA (ACOM_LNC026888)". Lineage: Eukaryota; Viridiplantae; Streptophyta; Magnoliopsida; Poales; Bromeliaceae. The record is from RNAcentral.